RNAcentral lists this long non-coding RNA (65761 nucleotides) under Malus domestica (apple). RNAcentral describes it as "long non-coding RNA (MDOM_LNC014960)". Lineage: Eukaryota; Viridiplantae; Streptophyta; Magnoliopsida; Rosales; Rosaceae. The record is from RNAcentral.
GCUAUUUAUGAUUUCAACUUUUUUUGGUGAAGUUUAACUCCUAGUUAAAAAUUAAUACACCAUGUAGAGGAUUAUGCGAGUAGAACUACGCGCUAGGGCCUACAAAUUGUCCGCUAAUCCCUCCAAACAUACAUACUAACCAAAAUUUGUUAAAGAACAUAAAACUACAAGUCUUGUAAUGAUAUGAACUUGGUAUGAUUUUCUUUGUACUAGUGGUAAGUUAAGUUGAUGCCCUCCUCUUAGAGUUAACAGGUCUUGUAAUGAGCUCCUGUUUGAUUACUUGAUAUGAGAAUUGCAUGUCUAGUCAACCUUUUAUUUAACACCUUCUUUGUUUCGAUAGAUACAUUCAAGAAUAACAUCUUCUUUCUCAAUGUCUCGAAAAAGCCCAACUUGGACCUUAUUGUACACCAACUAUAUCAACGGAUGGGGUACGAGCUGCCUGCUUUCGAAAACGAAGUCAUGGCAGCUAACUGGUUGUUCUCAAGUAAUCUGGACAAAAUCCUCUACUGUUUGUCCUGGAUGAUGUUUUGGUCAGGAUCAGAGUCCCUGUCUUGAGAAGAUUUGACGACGAAUUCAAGUUUUCAAAUUACAAGAUUUUGGUCACAUCAAGAUUUGCAUUUCCAAGAUUCGGUUCUCCUUAUCAUUUGGCACCAUUGAAUGAUGAAGAUGCAAUGGCUCUUUUUCACUAUUCGGCAUCCUUGAAGGAUAAGAGCUCUUCUUACGAAGAUCUUUCGAGAAAGGUGAUUUCUUAGUCCACAAUACACACACACACAGAGACACACACAUAUAUGUGGAUAUAUAUAUGAUUAUUUAUGCCUCAGAAGAGGGUAAAGAAAUAACGUUUGAGCAUCCACACACGUUAAUGAACUGUGAAGGAUGAAGUAAGAAGAGUGAAAGAGUAGACAGUUUACAAUUUUAUCAGCUUUAUGAAACCAUUUAGAUGAUUUAAUUCAACAACUUAAUCAAUAAUAGUUUAAUUUCAUUUUGGAUAAUCAAAUUGCAGAUUAUCAAGCGCUGUAAGGGAUGCCCACUUGCCAUUGAAAUUGGUCGGGAGAUCAAAGCCAGCCUAUAGAAAUUGGCAGAAAAGAGUGGGAAUUGGUGCAAAGGUUCAUCUUCUUUGAUUCUUGAUUUUUGAAGCACUUGGCUCCAAAAGCUUAAUGCCCGAAAAGGCUAUCAUUUCUUUCGAUCUAGGUUCUUUUAGGAGGAAAAAAAUUGAUAUGUGGGCGGAGUUGUAUGGUCUAGAUGAAGAAAUUCUGACCAUUGCCAACCUUCAUGAGCUCACCACCCGAAGUUUAGCUAAUCUUGUUGUCACAAGGUAUGCAGGCUGCUCAUAAUUUUUUCUAUUUCAUUAUGUAUGCCGAACAAAUCAUUAAAGAAAUUAGUAUUGAUCAUCCAGACAUGAGGGGGAGACAGAUGGCUAUUACGCUGAACACUUUGUCACCCAGCACGACAUGCUUAGAGAGUUGGCGAUCCAUCAGGCGAGUCAAGACCCAAUAGAACAUAGGAAACGACUAUUUUUAAACAUCUGUGGGAACAGACUUCCUAAGUGGUUGACAGAACAAAAGUAUAAAGCGAUCAAGGCUCGACUAUUAUCUAUCUCAACAGGUUCAAUCAAUCUCUCUUUAGUAAAUACUUAUACAUGUGCGCUCGGGACACACGUGUGCACACACACACAUGCUCAUUCUUACUAAGACUUCAAUCGGACCUCGACACAUUUAAGUUCAACCCACGCUAACAUCUUAAAGCUUAUUGUUUGCAGAUGGAGCCUUCUCAGCAAAAUGGCCAAACAUGCAAGUACCCGAAGCAGAGGUUCUAGUUCUGAAUUUUGAAACGAAGAACUAUGCCUUACCUGAGUUUGUGGAGAAAAUGGAUAAACUAAAGGUUCUAAUACUAAAUAAUUACGGUUUGUUACCUGCUGAACUAGAUAAUUUUGAACUACUUGGUUCGCUAUCAAAUCUUAAGAGAAUUAGAUUAGAACGUAUUUCAAUUCCUCCCAUAAGCAAGGUCCUUAAACAGUUGAAAAGCUUGCAGAAGAUCUCUCUUUUCAUGUGUGAUAUCGGCCAAGGUUUCGUCAAAAUUUUAGAUGCACUGCCAAAUCUAGUGGAAUUGAACAUUGAUUAUUGCUAUGAUCUGGUGCAACUUCCUGCCAACCUUUGUGACCUUGUUCACCUUAAGAAGCUUAGCAUCACCAACUGUCAUAAGCUAUCUGCCUUGCCUGCAGACAUCGGAAAGCUAGUCAAUCUUGAAGUGUUGAGGCUUAGGUCAUGUGCAGAUUUGUUAGAGUUGCCAGGCUCGAUUAGGAACCUUAAAGUUUUGAAAUUUCUCGACAUAUCUGAUUGCUUUAGCGUAAAGGAGUUGCCAGAGGACAUUGGUGCAAUGUGCAAAAGCAGCAUUGAAGAAAAUGGAUUCAAACGAAGUGCCUGUUUCAAAACUGAAAGGCUGCCUGCUUCUGUUAUGGAACUUAAAGCCAUUGAAGUGAUAUGCGACGAUUUCCUUGAAAACUUUAUGGGAACCCUUUUUGCCAAUUCUCACAAACAUGCGCAAUUAAAGUGAUAAUGAUAUCAACCAAAUUGGAAAAGUCCUUUGCAUCAUGAUAAUGCAUCGUGAUUUGCCCAUGUGUUAAAAAACUACUUUAAUGAUAAAUGCAGUACUCCUGCUUGCUUGCAAUAUAUGAUCCUUGAAGCAUGUUAAAGUUGAACAAGUUCUUGCAACUAAGGCAACCAUGGAAUCUUUUCAAUCAUCUCUCUUGCCAAGUUCUUGAUUAAACAAUGUCUUCUCAAACUGAUAUCAAUCAAAACCUAAAUUGCAAACAAUUAAUAUUUCCAUCUCAAGAUCUCUGGUUGCCAAAUGUUCUGCAUUUUGUCGAUAAUCAUUGCAAGUUUAAUGAUUCUUUGAAUUCUCAUGUUUAAGAUAGCUAAACUCAUUUGUAUGCAAAGACUUUUUUGAUUUCAAGUAACACACAUUAAGUCUGCCAUGAAAAAGCACCAAUGAUAUAGAGGACUGGAACAUUGAGCAUGUCCUGUGAGAGGCUAGUCUUUCAAGCCUUUCAAUUCUUGCUGUUCGUAGAAAGCAACGAAAGGCCAGUCUUGAAGCUUCCUGCCAAUCUCAAUGACGGCUUUCUUAGAAUUGGUUUUGUGAAAAUUCAAAUUACAGAGAGAGCAGAGAAACGAGGAAGAGUGCACAUGUUAAAGUACAAUUUUAUCCAUGUAUUAACAGAUAGUUAAUGGAAAAAUCAAAUUUUGGGCUAAACGGAGUACCAACAAUGAGUUCAAAUCUGAGUUUUUUUAGCAUAUGGGCUAUCUUCCGAAUACCUUAUGAUCAUAGGGAUUAUUUAUCCGAUUUGGCCUUAUUGUAAUUAUUCACCAUGGCUAUUAUUGUAAAUAACAUGUUUGCACUCCUCAUUUAUUGACUCUUUUGAUUCUCUUUGAUUUAUCCAAUCAAUGGUGUGCAUAAGUGCAUGGAAAGAAAAUAAAGUUCAAAAAUAACUACCCUUUGAUUUAUCCAAUUAAUGAGUGUUGGUGCAAAAUUUGUUUUCUUAUUCUCUCUCUUGCUGCACCUCUUUAUCCCCCUUCAGUUAAAAUAUGACAUAACAUUACUAUUUUAUUUAAGGGUAAUUCAAAUUAGUAGAUAAAAUUUUGCAAACUAAGUGACAUGGAAAUUGAUGAUUGGAAUAUGACUUAAACGUAGAUAAAUGUGCUUAAUCCUAUUGGUAACAUAUCAUUUAGUUUGUAAAUUUUGUCCUCGUAACAUUACUCAUAUAAAUUAUUUAUUCAACAGCACAACAUUUUUUUUACUAUUUUAUUUUCAACUAUAAAUGCUACAACACAAAAUUUUAAAAGCAGUGCAAUACCAAAUCAUAUGCACUAGAAAAUUCUGUAUCUUCUCGCCUCCUAAUAGCGCGUCAAAUGUCUUUCCCGGCUCGUUCGUUUUCUUUGGGUGAAAUUCAUUGCUCUUCGUUAAGUUGUAUAUAUGUGUGCUGAAACCAACAGACACCUUACAUAACAUUCUCACUUUCUCAUCAAACUAAAUUAACAAAGAGGAUUAAGGGUUAGUUUGGGACUAUUGUGUUUAAAAAAAAAAAAAACUAAUAUUGUUAUGAUUUAAGAAUAAUCAGCUGUAAAAUAAAGGUGAUGAGCGUUUGCUUAACUAAAUUUUAAAAGUGCUGUGAAUAUGAAAAGCAACGCAAAAGUGUUUGGUAAAAUUUAAUGUAAAAGUGAUAUAAUUGUAUACAAUGAUAGAUGGACAUAGUAGUAAGAGUGGGGGCAACGACAGCAGUGGUGGUAAUGGUGAUGGUGGUUGUGGUGGAGUUGGUGGUUGCGGUGGAGCUGGUGGUGGUGCUAAUAGUGGGAUAUGUUGGUUGAGGUGGAAAGGUAACAUUGGUGGUAUGGCGGUGGUAGUGGUGGCAGUUGCAGUUAUGGUGGUGUCAGUGGUGGCGGCAAUGAUGGUGGUAAUGAUAGUUGUGGUUGUGAUGGCGAUGAUGGCAGUUGCAGUAAUGAUGGUGGUGAUGGUGUUGGCAAUGAUAGCAUCGAUGGUGGUAAUAGUGGCGGUGGCAAUGGCGGCGGCGGUAGUGAUGGUGGUGACAAUGAUGGUAGUGAUGACAGAGGUGAAGGUUGUGGUUAUGGCGGCGGUGGUGGUGACAAUAAUGGUGGUUGUAAUGGAGGAGAUGGUGUAAGGUUAGUAUUUGUAAUGGUAGGUGAUAGCGUUUAUUUUAUUCUCUAAGGAAUGUGUUUGGAAGGUUAAACAAUGUCAUUUAAAAAAAAAAAAUUAAUGAAGGUAUUACAACAAUUGAAAAUUAUUAUUAUAGACACAAUUCUACUUUUUUUUUAUUAAAGCCGCUUUUAAAAGCAACUUACAUGCUGCUUUUAAAAGAUGCUAUUUGGAGUCUCUUUGUUUUGGUAAAUAUGUCUGGCUCCAGUCGGAAUGGGUGAUUUCAGAACGACAUUUGAAAUGCUGUUUGAUGCUGUAAAAUCAGUGCAGGAGGAGAAUAAAAUGUUCCAGCACCUCUCCCGAGACAUCAAGUUCGCACAGGACUCUGUACAACCACUCAUCAAAGACAUCGAAAAGUAUAACUCGAAAGAGGGACCGCAAAUUUUGCAAUACAGAUGGAGGAGGGAACAAGCUUUCAACAACUGUUACAUAAUCUCAGUGGCAUUCCCGAAUAUAGAAGAAAUGUAUAUCGACUAUUGCAGUGAUUUAAUAGAGUUGCCCGCCGAGAUUUGUGAUCUUAGUAAACUAAAGAAGCUCAGUGUCACUAACUGUCAUAAGAUAUCUGCCUUUACCUGAAGGGAUUGGAAAGUCGGAAAAUUUAGAAAUGUUGAGGCUAAGAUCCUGCACAAAACUGUCAAAGCUUCCAACCACGAUGAAGAACCUUGGAAAGGUAAACUUUCUUGACAUAUCUAUUUGCUUCAGCAUCAAGAUGUUGCCCAAAGACAUAGGUGAAAUGAGUAGUUUAAAGAAGAUGAACAUGAGACAAUGCUCAAGGUUGCAAGAGCUGCCUCCAUCAGUCAUGGAUCUUAAGCAGUUAAGGGAAGUUGUCUGUGAUGAAGAUACAAAAUACUUAUGGGAAUCUUUCUCAUUGUGUCUCAACAACGUAAGGAUAAUUGUGGCCAAAGAGAAUAUCAACCUAAAUUGGAUCCACAAGACUCAGUUCUAAUACCUGUGUUUCCUUGAUGAUCGUUGCUCUUCAACCUCUCUUGACUUGUGUUUCAUUGUCUUCCUAUUUUAGGCUAUUUCCCAUCUCCUUUUUAGUUUGUUCGUGGCUAGAAUUUCCGUUGGGGAUGUUUCCUAGCGGACGAGCACACAGCUCACCAAGAGGUUGGCACCGGUUGAUGCUUUCUGUUAGGCUUCUGCUCACUGGCGGGCUUGUCAGGCAAAUCUUGUUGGGCAAGGCUUGUCGGGCAAGGCUGAAAGAGAAGGACAUGGUUAACUUUGAAAUGUGCCUUUGUAGGGCCUUAGGUGUAGGUCUUGAGGCUCACAAUCAAGAUUAACUUUUAGGUGUUCAGGCAUGCCACUGCCAUCUUUAGCAUGAUAGAUGUAAAACAGAUGUUGAGUUUUAAUUGUAUAUAUACCCGAGAGGCUGUUUUAGUUAUGAAAGGUGCCUUUGUAGGGCCUUAGGUGUAGGCCUUGAAGCUCUCAAUCAAUAACUAACCCAGUACUCGAACAUAUAAUGUUUGUUUCAUUGAUUGCAGAAGUGUUAUGACUAUUAUACUUCUAAUUACCUGAGCCCGAAGAGCAGAAUGAAUCCAAAUAGGUGCCUUUGUAGGGCCUUAGGUGUAGGCCUUGAGGCUUCCCAUCAGAAUUACUUCUAUACUCAAACGUUCUACGAUAAUCAUAAUAUAACAGAAAUAAAACUAGGAAAUAGGUCGAUUACUUGCGCCCUAAGUAACUUCGGACUUCUUGUUAUCAAAGUCUGUCGUGGAUGGGUUAAGUCCACAUAAGGUUCUUUUUUAUGCCUUGAGACCAAAGACUUUUGAAUGAUCAAUCUUACAUGCCCGAGGGUUUAGAACUUAGAUCUGAUUUAAACUGUGACUACAUAUUCCAAUCGGAUUCAAGCACUGAGGAGUCUUUUAAUCAUCAACUUGCUAGAAAUAACUUGGAUACAAAUGGAAGUAUACAACAUAUUACUAGACUUAUGAAUGAAAAGACAAAAACAAAGAGGGUCGGGCAAGGUUUCACUUUGUCGGGCAAAGCUGGUCGUCUUGCAACUUCCUAUCUUUGUGAUUUAUAGAGGGGUUUGAGAACUUGGAAAGAGGGAUAAGGAGAUGAGUUUACAGAAGGAAAUCGAUACUACAGUAAGAUUUAGACAAAGUAGCAAAGCUUUUACAAAAGCUUUUGGUGAGGGUUGAUCCCGAAAUGGAUGAAGGCUUGGGCUGACUACAGCUUCGUUGAAAGCAAAUCUGGCUUGAGCAGAGUUUGUGCUUAUAUUUGUUUGGUUGUUUGAGUGUCCUCAUCUCUGAUUUUCUUUCUUCUUUUAUAGACAGUUUGGCUUGGCAUCCAGUAGCUUUAAUCUUGCCCGAAUGCAGCUUGAAGGGCAAUGACUCAUCAGCUUUUUACUUGUACUGCUACUGUAAAGUGCUUUUGGGCUGAUUAGCUGGCUGGUCUACACCACUUGGUCUCUAGGUAGGUGAACAAGUGGUUCAAAUGAUCUGCACCUAGUCGGGAAAAGGCCUUUUCUUCCUUCUGGGCUUUAGCUGGACUUCGGGCUUCUUUCCUCCUAGUCAUUCUUUUGGACCGACUCCCUUUUGAGCCCAAAGUUCAAGUUUUAACCCAAACAGUGCCCCCUUCAAUUAAUAUUCAGGCUGGAAUUCCAGGCGCCAAUAUUGAUUGAAUAGCCGCAUGCAUGUAUACCUCAUCUCGGAACUUGUGUUUUCUAAACGGGACGAAUGCAAUCUUGCAUCUCUUGCUCUUCUCAUGACCUUUGAGCUAUCCUCUGAGGUUUCUAUAAAUUCAGGCUCGAAAUUGCUCCUGUCCAGCCAACAGAUCCUCUUCAGCCUUCUCUUUUAUCUCCCUUAACUGGAAAAUGGGUUCCUCCGAAUUCAAUUUGGGUUUCCUAAAACUCCCUUUUCAUGAGAAAAAGGAUUUUCAUCAAAUGUCUACUAUCUUCAACACCUUUGGUCAAACACCCCGUUAUCUCCAACACCUUUGGUCAGACGGUCUCCUUCUGAUAGUUUACCCUCAUGCUCGUUGCUUUUAUAAGUCGGGCUUCACCAUCAUACCUGGUGACGGUUCGCAUUGAGGGUCCUCUACCAGGCUCAUCUUGGCCGCACAACCCGAUCACCUGAUCGGGUUCUAUCCAUGAAGAUAACAGAAAACUGGUUGAGACACCACUGCAUCCAAAAGGAACCAUACAUAGUGCACUGAGGCAGAAUAUGAUGUAAAUUUCACCAAUUUGUCGAAAUGAAUAAAACAUUAUUUUAUCAACUUUUUAUCUUUCUGUCUUCUUGAAUGGUUGAUGAACAAACACUGUACUUUGACAUCUCGAAUCCUGCUUUAUCUUGCAUCCUCUUCAAUAUAACAGUCUCUAACAUCCCAUAAUGUAGGACAUUACCUUUUUAAGAAUUUGACAUUAAUGGGAUGUCUCUGCCAAUUUCCUUCGAGGUCCGCCAAGUAAUAUCCUCCCUUGUCUAAUACUCCACUAAUCAUGAAAUGACCUUCCCAUGUCGGGCUCCAUUUUCCAAAGCCCCUAAGUUGAGCCCCUAGAGGGAGGACUGUCUUCCACACUAAAUCUCCUUCAUUGAAAGACUUUAUCUUUACCUUUUUGUUAUAAGCUCGGGCAAUAGCUCUUUUUCCUUCUUGAAUCUGGUUCAAGGCUUCAAUUCGGGCUACAUCUAAGUCUUCAAUCCCUUGGCACAUGGCUUCGAUGUACUCCUCACUAUGUAACCCAAACUGAUUUUGAAUUCUGACAGAACUUACAUUGAUCUAUAUGGGAAACACUGCAUCUUGCCCGAAAGUUAAAGCAUAAGGAGUUGUCCCUAUUCCUGCCCUCUUAGAGGUUCGGUAUGCCCACAGAGUAUUCCCCAACUUUUCAUGCCACUUUUCCGGACUAUCUGUCACCAUUAUUUUGAUAAUGUUUACCAAAAUCUUGUUGCUGAAUUUUGCCUAGCCAUUUGACUGUGGGUAGUAAGGACUGGACUGGAUCAUUUUUAUUUUGUAUUUGCUUGCAAACUCUUCAACUACUUUUGAGAUAAAAGAUGGCCCACGAUCUGUUACUAUAGUUUCGGGCACCCCAAAUCUGUGCAGAAUCUUGGUCUCAAUAAAAUUCUUGACUGCAGCUAAGGGUAUGGAUUUUACGGCCGAGGCCUCUACCCAUUUGGUAAAGUAAUCCGUUGCUACAAUUAUGAAAGUAUCCCCCUUGCUAGAAGCUAGAUAAAUCUGCCCAACGAAGUCCAUUGCCUAUCCUCUGAAGGGCCAAGGCUUGACUACUGGAUUUAAAGGUACUGAAGGCACAUGUUGUAGUGGUCUAUGUCUUUGACAUUCUUCACACCCUUGGGCAUAGGACUUGCAAUCUUUUUCCAUGUCGGGCCAGAAAUACCCAUACCUUCUAAGCAACCACCUCAUCUUCGUUCCAGCUUGAUGUGCCCCGUAUAUUCCUUCAUGUACCUCGACCAUCACUCUCAUAGAUUCCUCUUGGCCUAAGCAUUUCAAUAGUAACUCGUCUGGAGUUUUCCUUAACAGGUUCUUUGCCCAUAAGACAUACUUGGUUGCUUGCUGUCUAUUAUUCUUGCUUGUGGGUGAAGAAGGAUCCUUUAAAUGAUGAAUGAUAGGCGACCUCCAAUCUUCUAUCUCAGUUUCUAGAACCAUUACAUCCAGACAAAAUCCUCUUUCUAGGAUAGAAGGAAUGUUUCUUCUUUGAAUCUCGACAUCUACCCCAUAUUUUCUUUCCUGUAUUGGCACGCCUGAGGCUAAUUGCGCCAUCUCGUUGGCCGCUAGGUUGGAUCCCCUGGGAACAUGAUUAACUGAUAUCUCAAAAUCCCAAUAACUCAACAAUUGCAUGGCCGCCAAGUAAUACCCUGCCAUGGUGAUAUGUCUGCACUUGAAAUCCCCAUUUAGCUGGUUUAUUACUAACUCUGAAUCACCAAACACCUUUACCUCUACUGCCCCCAGAUCCAUCAAGAUUUCCAAACCAAUUAUUAAGGCUUCAUACUCUGCCCGAUUAUUGGUGUUCCCUUGGUAAUCUAGGAGGAACGAGUAAUAAUGAUAAACCCCUUAAGGGUUCACAAUGACAAUCCCAGCUCCAGAGGCAUUCUGAGUGUAAGAACCAUCAAAAUAAAGCUUCCAAGGAGUAAUCCAGAGGCCAGUCACUCUUUUUAUCUCUUGCUGGACCCACUCCUUUUUACCCGAGAUAUCUUUGCUUGGCGGGAUCCAAACGCUAGUAACUUCCAAGGUCCCCGAGAUAUUGAUUAUCUCAUCUUGAGACUCUUGAUGCUCCACCAAGAAGUCGGCAAUUGCUUGGCCUUUGACUGCCCUUUGGGGUACAUACUGAAAGCUGAAUUCUGAUAAUGCUAGAAUCCACUUCCCAAUUCUUCCCGUCAACAUUGGUUUUGACAACAUAUACUUUAUCACAUCUAUUGGUAAUGAUGUGCACGUGACAAGGUAACAUGUAAUGCCUUAGCUUACUGGCAGUGAAAUAUAGAGCUAGGCACAAUCUUUCCACUGGGGAGUAUCUUGUUUCUACCUCGUUUAGAAUUCUACUGAGGUAGUACACCGCCUGCUCUUUCCCACCUUCAUUGUUUUGAGUUAGCAAACUUCCGAUUGAUUUUUCUGAAGCUGAGAUAUAUAGCUUUAAGGGUUUUCCCCUUUGAGGUGGUACCAACACUGGUAGAGAAGUCAAAUAGGCUUUGAUACUGUCAAAAGCCCUUUGGUGUGGUGGUCCCCACUCGAAAUCUUCUUUAUCUUUCAGUCUCAGCAUAAGAGUCAGUGGUUGGAUCUUACCCGCUAAAUUGGCAAUGAAUCUCCUUAAGAAAUUAAUUUUGCCUAGCAGCCUCUGAAGUUGUACUUUAUUGGUGGGUGAAGGCGACUCCAUUAUUGCCCGAGAUUUGUUUUUGUCGACUUCUACUCCUCUUUAGGUCAGCCAUGGGCAUGGGAUAUUCAUCUUUUGGUGUGGCGCCAUUAAUAUUUCUGUAAUCAACACAACAUCGCACUGCUUUUGUUAUGGCUUUUAAAACGGGUACAAUGUUGGCUAACCACUCUACAUACUUAGCUGGUCUAAUAAAUCUAGCUUUUACUAGUCUUUUAAUUUCUUCUUUGACCUUCUCUUCUAUCUCAUUUGACAUCCUUCGUGGUGCUUGCUUAACAGGUUUAUACCCCUCCUUGAUGCGCAUUCUGUGUUCCAGCAAGGUUGAAUCCAAACCUGGCAUCUUAGUGUAAUGCCAAGCAAAAUAAUCUUUAAAUUCUUGUAAAAGACAGAUAAUCUUCGCCCGAUCAUUAGUUUCUAACAAGCCACUGAUUUGUAUAGGUCUUGGAUCUUUUUCUGUCCCCAAAUCAAUGACUUCCAAAGGAUCCUGAACCUCUGGUGGUGGUUUGUCUGGUUCUGCGCACAAAAAUUCAACUAACUCCAGGCUUUUGGGCAAGUUGUCUGGCCCAUCCAAGUCAUAUAUGCACUCGGCCAUUCGUAUGGCCAUAUCCAAUUCUUCUCCGUAAAGCUCUUCUCUGCUUCUAUCCUGAUUGGUCGGAGUUCCUAGCUGCAAUUCCUGCUCUUCUUUGUCUAAGAGCUCCCUUUCUUGCUUUCUUCCUUUCCCAUACACCAACAGUCUUUUGAUCAGGGACAUGACUGCCAUUACUUGAUCCUUCCUAUUUUGUUCUGUCAUUGAUGAUGUAGGGGUGUUGAGACGAUACAAGGUCUAUCCCACUAUUCUCUAGUAAUGAGCAUUCCUUGUUCUAAAAGCUUUUGGGUCGUCACCUUGGUAAGGCGGCCGUUCUCAUCUGCUCCUGAACAUUUCAGAAUUCCUACGUUGGGAUUGUAGAAACUCGCCUCCGCAACAUUGGUUGUGGGGAGAAAUGGCCGUGAUUCGGCCUCCACCAUUUCCCAAAAGCCUAGUCCCUAUGUCCCUGCCUCAUGAUAAACAACCACUUGUUGAUGUAGAGUGGAGGGUAUGACGAGACUUUGGUGGAUCCAGUCCCUUCCAAGUAAGGCUCCAUAGGUGGAAGUGCAAUCUACCACAAAGAAUGCCAACAUGAUUUGUUUGGACCCCAAAUCCACUUCUAAAGGCAAUAUCCCAUGAGUUUUGGUAAUAGUGCCCGAGAAGCUUGAAACCGUGAAGUCCGUAGGAAUAAGAUCUUCUGUGCCUCUCCCUAUUCUUUUCAUUUGCUUGGCUGGCAGUACAUUAACAGCCUCUCAUCCAUCAAUUAAAAUUCUUUUGAAAGACACCCCUUCCAAAUGAGCCGCAAAAUAUAUUGGCUUAAGAUGGUUGGCUAGUAACAUGUUUGGACAACUGAACACCAUUUUAUCCGUAUAGAUCCUUAAAGGACUAUCUUUGGAUGCUUCGGAAAAUUCAGCUUUUCCUGACUCUCUUUCUCCAGCUAUCUUAACACUGACAUGGGCCAUCAUUGGCUCCGUCGUCACAUAGUCUCCUUUCAUAGUGGCAGGUUGAUUAGGCUCAGCACCAAACAUGGCGGAUAACACAUACACCAUGUUGAUAUGAAAAUUGCUAGGCUCUAGCAGUUUUUCUUUCUUGCUCCCGAUUUGUUCCAUGAACUCAUCUAACCAGGCCAUCGUAUCUUCUGGAAGUAGUGGUUUUGGUGCCCCCUUAUGUUGAUUCAUGCCCGAAUAUGGUGUUUGCUUUGGAACUUCACUGAAAGGAUCCACUAAUGAUAAAGAAGGUGGUUUUCUUUCAGGCGAAACAGUUCCAAAACAAAUAGGCUCCGUCUUCCAUCUGGGAGUUGGCAUCAUGAUCAUAUCUUCUUGAGCUCUCCUCAAGUACCUAUAUUUCCCAGGGUGUAGGCUUUGCGGUACAUGGUUUCCUUCACCUUCUGUUUUACUAUUAGCUCUCUCCACCUCUUUUUUACUCCUCCAGCGGAACUGACUACUCCCCCAGAUGACGUUUUUUCAAACUUUUGAUUCUUGGAUGCUUCAGACGUCGCGGGGGUCUUUAAAGAAUUCAUGUAGGCUUUGUGCUGCCUCUGGACCCUUCUAACCAUCGAGGCUCCCAUUUGUUUAACGGGCUGUCCAUUUUUUCCAACCACAUACCAUUUUCGCUCGAGGCGGGCAGGGUUAUCUUUCUUGACAGGAUUUGUUAUCCUAUCAUUUCUCUUAACUUCUUUUCCCAUAUGGCCAUAUUGAAGAUGUUCUACACCCCUAUCUUUUGGCUUUUUGGCAUCCUUGUCUUCUGCCUCCUUAGAAGCUUUAUGAUUACGAAAUAUCUCUGAUAAAGCUCUGGGUUGGGAAUCGCCUCCUAACCGCUGAAAAACACUUCGAGAAGUAUCUAUUCCUGCAGUCCGCCUAGCUUUCUCACGGGCCUCUUUUCUUUCUUCUUCUUUCUUCCUCCUGAUCAGCUCAUGAUCCAUGAGGACUCCUGCUGGUGGUAUUUCGAGCUCACACUUGCAUUGGCAUUUAUUGCAAAGAACCAUCCCUUUGAUUAUAGCUGCUUUUGGAUGUUCGGUCAAUCUGAUCACCCCUUUUGUGGAUUUGUCAGCCAGUCUUCCUUUUUCUAUUUCCCUUGCGACCUUUUCUUUCCCCUUCUCGGCCCAUGCCAUACUGAUCAUAUUUAUUGGGGCUUUUGAGAAGGGAUCUGUAUGUUUGCCCACCACUGAUUCCUCUGGCUGGUUGGUUUUAAGUCUCUCUUUCCCUAUUAUCUUUUACCCCAAGUUGAGGUAAAGAUAUAGGAAUAGUUGGUCUUACAACUAGGUCUGCUUUCCUUCUGAAGCCUGCGGAGGCGCUAUCCAGUCUUUGUAACAUUUGCAAUAAGGUAGUUUACAAGUCUUCAUCAAAAUGUUCUGGAACAUCUGCUCUUUUUAAAUCUUCAAGUUUUCUUGACAUAUUUCUUUGGUAAGUAAGAUCUGAUUAAAGGAAUCUCACCAGGCGUGCCAAAACUAUGUUUGUGGCUAGAAUUUCCGUUGGGGAUGUUUCCUAGCACGAGCACACAGCUCCCCGAGAGGUUGGCGCCGGUUGAUGCUUUCUGACGGGCUUCUGCUCACUGGCGGGCUUGUCGGGCAAGGCUGAAAGAGAAGGACAGGGUUAACUUUGAAAGGUGCCUUUGUAGGGCCUUAGGUGUAGGCCUUGAGGCUCACAAUCAAGAUUAACUUUUAGGUGUUCAGGCGUGCCACUGCAAUCUUUAGCAUGGUAGAUGUAAAACAGAUGUUGAGUUUUAAUUGUAUAUAUACCCGAUAGGCUGUUUUAGUUAUAAAAGGUGCCUUUGUGGGGCCUUAGGUGUAGGCCUUGAGGCUCUCAAUCAAUAACUAACCCAGUACUCGAACAUAUAAUGUUUGUUUCAUUGAUUGCAGAAGUGUUAUGACUAUUAUACUUCUAAUUACCCGAGCCCGAAGAGCAGAAUGAAUUCAAAUAGGUGCCUUUGUAGGGCCUUAGGUGUAAGCUUUGAGGCUUUCCAUCAGAAUUACUUCUAUACUCAAACGUUCUACGAUAAUCAUAAUAUAACAUAAAUAAAACUAGGAAAUAGGUCGAUUACUUACGCCCCAAGUAACUUCGGACUUCUUGUUAUCAAAGGCUGUCGUGGAUGGGUUAAGUCCACAUAAGGUUCUUUUUUAUGCCUUGAGAUCAAGGACUUUUGAAUGAUCAAUCUUACAUGCCCGAGGGUUUAGAACUUAGAUCUGAUUUAAACUGUGACUACAUAUUUCAAUCGGAUUCAAGCACUGAGGAGUCUUUUAAUCAUCAACUUGCUAGAAAUAACUUGGAUACAAAUGGAAAUAUACAACAUAUUACUAGACUUAUGAAUGAAAAGACAAAAACAAAGAGGGUCGGGCAAGGUUUCACCUUGUCAGGCAAGGCUGGUCGUCUUGCAACUUCCUAUCUUUGUGAUUUAUAAAGGGGUUUGAGAACUUGGAAAGAGGGAUAGGGAGAUGAGUUUACAGAAGGAAAUCGAUACUACAGCAAGAUUUAGACAAGGUAGCAGAGCUUUUACAAAGGCUUUUGGUAAGGGUUGAUCCCGAAAGGGAUGAAGGCUUGGGCUGACUACAGCUUCGUUGAAAGCAAAUCUGGCUUAAGCAGAGUUUGUGCUUGUAUUUGUUUGGUUGUUUGAGUGUCCUCAUCUCUGAUUUCUCUUUCUUCUUUUAUAGACAGUUUGGCUUGGCCUCCUGCAGCUUUAAUCUUGCCUAAAUGCAGCUUGAAGGGCAAUGACUCAUCAGCUUUUUACUUGUACUGCCACUGUAAAGUGCUUUUGGGCUGAUUAGCUGGCUGGUCUACACCACUUGGUCUCUAGGUAGGUGAACAAGUGGUUCAAAUGAUCUGCACCUGGUCGGGAAAAGGCCUUUUCUGCCUUCUGGGCUUUUGGUGGGCUUCGGGCUCCUUUCCUCCUAGUCAUUCUUUUGGGCCGACUCCCUUUUGAGCCCAAAGUUCAAGUUUUAACCCAAACACAGUUUACGCCCUUUGUUUCGUAAAUAGUAGUGUGGGAUAUUGCAAGGUAUAAUCAUUGGUCGUUAAAUGAGCACUAUUUUGAUAACCUUAAGAAAUUUUCUAAACUUGUGAAAUGUGAAGGGAAAUUUAAUAUCUGAGCAAUAAGUUUAAUGUGAAAGUUUUUUUUUCAGAGGGAAAAUGUGGUUUGUGUUUUUAAUGGGACUUCUUAAACUCUACUUUAACAUAGUUUCACAAUCAAUCCCUAUACACAGUUUCUUAACCUUUUGGUUUGAAAAUCUGUAUGUAUAGUUCAACACCACAGUGUGAUUAUGCUCUCCCAAACUAAGUUUUAUAAGUAACAACAACAACAACAAAGCCUUUUCCCACUAAGUGGGGUCGGCUAUAUGAAUCCUAGAACGCCAUUACGCUCGGUUUUGUGUCAUGUCCUCCGUUAGAUCCAAGUACUCAAGUAUUUUCUUAAGGUCUCUUCCAAAGUUUUCCUAGGUCUUCCUCUACCCCUUCGGCCCUGAACCUCUGUCCCGUAAUCACAUUUUCGAACCGGAGCGUCAGUAGGCCUUAUUUGCACAUGUCCAAACCACCGGAACCGAUUUUCUCUCAUAUUUCCUUCAAUUUUGGCUACUCCUACUUUACCUCGGAUAUCCUCAUUCCCAAUCUUAUCCUUUCUCGUGUACCCAUACAUCCCACAAAGCAUCCUCAUCUCCGCUACACCCAUUUUGUGUACGUGUUGAUGCUUCACCGCCCAACAUUCUGUGCCAUACAACAUCGCUGGCCUUAUUGCCGUCCUAUAAAAUUUUUCCUUGAGCUUCAGUGGCCUACGACAGUCACACAACACGCCGGAUGCACUCUUACACUUCAUCCAUCCAGCUUGUAUUCUUCUGUUGAGAUCUCCAUCUAAUUCUCCGUUCUCUUGCAAGAUAGAUCCUAGGUAGCGAAAACGGUCACUUUUUGUGAUCUUCGCUAGAUUGCUCCGGUCAUUAGUGUGGAUAAGUAUAUAAAUGGAUAGAGAUAGGAAAGCAAACACAAGAUGUACGUGGUUCACCCAGAUUGGCUACGUCCACGGAAUAGAGGAGUUCUCAUUAAUUGUGAAGGGUUUACACAAGUACAUAGGUUCAAGCUCUUCUUUAGUGAGUACAAGUGAAUGAUUUAGUACAAAUGACAUUAGGAAAUAUUGUGGGAGAAUGAUCUCGUAACCACGAAACUUCUAAGUACCGGAGUGUGGUAUCGUCUUAACUUGCCUUAUCUGUCUCAUAGGUAGAUGUGACAUCUUCUCUGGAAGUACUCUUCCUCCAUCCAGGGUUGGUAUCUGUAACUGGUGAAGAUGCACAAGGUAAUGUAUCAAUUUCACUUGAAGCUUACUUGUAGUUUCAGGCUUGGUCAAGCGCGAUACAAACCAUGUAGUAGGAGUCCCCUAAGUCGCCGAGCUAGGGGAUCUGCUGAAAGAGGUGACAGACAAGGUAAGCAAUCAGAGCUCCGGCUGAUUGUUCACAUUCUCCCUAUCUUGCAGGCAGCAUGAAGGAUAAAGAGAAGAAAAAUGAGAAGAGAUGAUAUGGGAUACUUUUGCUUUUGAAGAAGUAACUUUCCACAGGCUUAUUCUUGAACUGGGCUGGAGGGUUUUCUGGUUUCCUCCAGAGUAUAAGGCCGACUGAAGAAUUUGAGGGUCAAAACAAGUCCAUCAAAUCUAGAGUACGUUCGACCCUGCUGAUAUGGGAUACUUUUGCUUUUGACAGAGUAGUGGAUGUAUCGGCACGUGUGCUGUUAUGCUUGUCUCCACAUGCUUCCUUGUAUCCUUCUCACUUGCCUUAUAUGUUCCUCAGGCAGAUGUGGUAUCUUCCCUAGAAGCAUAAGAUGUUGAAGAUGAGUACUCGAGAGCAAUGCCAGGUAAGUAAUCAAGUAAGGGGUUCCAGGCAGUCAGUUCCUGGCUGGAAGCUUGAUUCCAAGUGCUGACUGAUUGCUCUCUCUCUCCUUAUCUUGCAGGUAAGAACAAGGCCAAAGGAAAAGACAGGGAAAAAGCAUGAUAUGGGAUACUCUUGCUUUUAACCCUGAUGAUAUGAGAUAUUCUUGCUCUAGUAUAGCUUGUUUACAGAGGUAUUAUCGGGGGGAAAGAAAGCUGAAUAUUUCGAAAGGCUUCGUUGGGAGUGCCCUGUCAGAUAAGAGGAAGGGUUGAGCAUUUUUGCAGGUCUGCCUGUCCGUUGGGAUGGAGGUCGACAUAUAUAGGAGUCUCCCUAACAUCAAGUAAUAAUGCUAUUCCUUUACCCUACCCUGCUUGGUCAUAGCACGGUAGUGGGAGCUGCCAGCUUCACAUGUUUUAACUUUGUCAGAGCACUUUGAAAAAGUGGUCUGUGGUAUCUGGAAAGCUGAUGUUGCGUGUGAAGAUUACAGACAAGCUUUAUCCAAGGAGAUCCAGCUCUUGAAGUUGGGAAAGUGAUGCCUCUUCGGUUUUCGAACAAGCAAUCCUGUCGGGGAUCUGACUCUCGAGAUUCGAAGAACGAUGCCUCUUCGAUUUUUGAGAAAGCAAUCCUGCUGGGGUCUGGCUCUCGAGAUUCGGAGAGCGGUGUCUCUUCGAUUUUUGAGAAAGUAAUCAUGUUGGGAGUCUGGCUCUCGAGAUUCGGAGGGCGGUGCCUCUUCGAUUUUGGAGCAAGCAAUCUUGUUGGGAGUGUUUUCUCGAAUGUGAGUAAAGGUUGGGCAUGUUUGCUAGUCUACCUUGCCACGAAGCACAGAGGUUGACACACAGGGACUUUCCAGUUAUCCAGCAGUGGUACUGUUCCUUUACCCUCUCUUCGAUUUUUGAGAAAGUAAUCAUGUUGGGAGUCUGGCUCUCGAGAUUCGGAGGGCGGUGCCUCUUCGAUUUUGGAGCAAGCAAUCUUGUUGGGAGUGUUUUCUCGAAUGUGAGUAAAGGUUGGGCAUGUUUGCUAGUCUACCUUGCCACGAAGCACAAAGGUUGACACACAGGGACUUUCCAAUUAUCCAGCAGUGGUACUGUUCCUUUACCCUUGUGGGUAAUAAUAUGGUAGCUAGACCUUCAAAAUUUAUGUGUCUAAACUUUGUUAGUGUUGUUUCUUUGCUAUUAUUUUACCCUUCUUGGUCAGAGCGAUGUAGUGGGAGCUGCAAGCUUCACGUGUCUCAACUUUGUCAGAGAACUUUGGCAAAGUUAUCUGUGGUACCCAUGAGCUACUGUUGCCUGUGGGAAGUGGGUGAUUGAACAGUACGAUUCAUGUGCUUUCUACUUCUCCAGAAAUCUUCGACAGAAUGCCCAUAAUUUCCGCAAAGCUGAGUGUGCGUGUGACAGGUGCUGACAAGGCUGGAAAAGUAGGUGCCUCUUCGAUUUCUGAGAUCGGCCCUCGUGGUCUCUGAGCAGCCCAGCUUUUGAGAAAGCAAACGCCUCUUCGAUUUCUGAGCAGGCGCCUCUUCGAUUUCUGAAGCUUCGUCGAGUGCAGAUUUUUAUAAGGGGUGACAUUAAGUUCCAAAGCACACUUGAAUAUCCACCAGUAGAAGCUCCAUUCUUGCACUUCUAUGAUCUUGAUUUGUCCGACCUCUUCUUUCUUCAACACCUUUGAAAAUGUCUGGCCCCUCCGACCGUCGUUUUGACUUGAACCUUGUUGAAGAGGCAGCCCCGCCUUCUCCAGACAACAUAUGGCGCCCAUCCUUCGUCUCCCCUACUGGUCCUCUUACCGUCGGGGAUUCCGUGAUGAAGAAUGAUAUGACCGCUGCGGUAGUGGUCAGGAACCUUCUCACUCCCAAAGAUAACAGACUACUUUCCAAACGGUCUGAUGAGUUGGCCGUUAAGGAUUCUCUAGCUCUCAGUGUUCAGUGUGCAGGUUCUGUGUCUAAUAUGACCCAACGCCUAUUUGCUCGAACCCGCCAAGUUGAAUCAUUGGCGGCUGAAGUGAUGAGUCUCAAACAGGAGAUUAGAGGGCUCAAGCAUGAGAAUAAACAGUUGCACCGGCUCGCACAUGACUAUGCUACAAACAUGAAGAGGAAGCUUGACCAGAUGAAGGAAUCUGAUGGUCAAGUUUUACUUGAUCAUCAGAGAUUUGUGGGUUUGUUCCAAAGGCAUUUAUUGCCUUCGUCUUCUGGGGCUGUACCGCGUAAUGAAGCUCCAAAUGAUCAACCUCUGAUGCCUCCUUCUUCUAGGGUUCUGUCCAGUACUGAGGCUCCGAAUGAUCCCCCUCCGGUGCCUUCUCUUUCUGGGGCUCUACCGACUGCUGAGACUUCUCCUAAGCAACCUUUGUGAAGGCUCCCUCUUGUUUGUUUAUUUUGACUCAAGUAUAUGUACAUAUUUGUAACUGAUCGGGGAUAUCAAUAAAUAAGCUUUCCUUCAUUUCAACGUAUUGUGUUAAAUACACCAAAACCUUCUUCGCUAAGUUCUUUGAAUUUUCUUUUGUUGAAGCUUGUAGUUGAAGCUUUGUGAGUGGAGCAUGUAGGUUGAGGUAGUGUUCCCUUAAUUUCCCGAGUGAGGAAAACUUCUCGGUUGGAGACUUGGAAAAUCCAAGUCACUGAGUGGGAUCGGCUAUAUGAAUCUUAGAACACCAUUGUGUUCUGUCCUGUGUCAUGUCCUCCGUUAGAUCCAAGUACUCUAAGUCUUUUCUUAGGGUCUCUUCCAAAGUUUUCCUAGGUCUUCCUCUACCCCUUCGGCCCUGAACCUCUGUCCCAUAGUCGCAUCUUCUAAUCGGAGCGUCAGUAGGCCUUCUUUGCACAUGUCCUAAUCACCGUAACCGAUUUUCUCUCAUCUUUCCUUCAAUUUCGGCUACUUCUACUUUACCCCGGAUAUCCUCAUUCCUAAUCUUAUCCUUCCUCAAGUAUAUGUAAAAGGAACAAAAAAGAAGAGGCUGAAGAGUCUCCAUAAGACAAGAACUUUUAUGUCACAGAGUCAGGUAUUAAUCUUGUCGUCGGUAAGUUUCUCAAGUAUCUAUAUUCACAUUUGUUGGUCAAGUUUUCAGAAUUAUGUUCACAUAUAAUCUGAAUUCAUUGCCAAAUGUUGAGGAAUUGAUUGUUAUUGACUAUUGCGAUGAAUUGGUCUCAAACUACGUUUUCCAACCAACACAGUUUGAUCAGUUUUAAAAAAAAAACACUGUUUGAUUAGUCUCGUUCAAUACCAUUACGUGAUCAGCUUAAAUUUACUUUUCAUGUUCAAACUUUUAAUAGUUAAACUAAGAAAGAAUGGGCCAUAUUUUAUUUCUUUUAAAAGUUGUUCACAUAGAAGUGGACAUUGACAAAGUAGAUCAUGAAUAACAUUAUAACAUUGUAAUUUGGAUGAAAAUACACACAUCCAAUACUUUAAUUAGAUGCAUUAUACUUUAAAUGAAAAUAAAUAAAUUUAAUAUUCUUAGAGAAGGUCACAAUAGAAAUUUCACAACUAAGAACGGAUUAGAGCAUGCCAAUACUUAAAAAGCCGACUUGGCUUUGUAAUGGGAAGGGUACAAAGAAAUUUCACAGCUAAAAAUUAAUUAGAUCGUGACAAUGAGGUAGAUGAGGGGGUUCUUUUCUCCAAAUAAACUCUUAAAGUAUUUUUAUAUAAAACUUAUAGUUUUGAAACAAAUAAUUUUACAUUAGAAAAGAUAGCUUAUACUUUCACUAAAAAAGAGAUCUGAUUUUUAUUAAUUAACAUUGAAGUUUUUGCCUAUUCAAGAGAUGUGGGUCCCGUAUUUCAAUCAACACAUGUGAGUUUCAUCUCUAUUAAAAAGAUGAUACAAAUGAUGGUUACAAAUAAAUGGUAAGAACAAUAUUUUUAUUUACAAAAAAAUUAUUAUGCACUGCUAUCUAAUAAAGUAAACAAGGUCAAAAGGAGGACAAAGUGGGUUUCUUUUAGCGCUAAUAUUCUUUUAGAAACUAUAUAUUUGAUUGUAUGAACAAUAAAGUCAUUGUACAAUUUAAAUUUAAAACUCAUAAAGAAAAUUAUACAAGGCAUACAAAGUUUAUUAAUCAACAUUGAACCUUUUGUGCAUAUUCUAUGAAAACAUAAGGAAAUUAUACAAUGGUCUCCUCACAAGAAAUUCUCAACUCUUUCAUUUUUUGUGAACUUGUGAUACACGCUAAAGGGGAUGAACUCUUCAAUGAAAUUUUGACACGUAAAAAUGAGACCUAUUCGUAAGUUUAUUGAAAAUAAUAAAGCUCAUAUGAGUAGCCUAGAAUACAAUUUCCUUGUGUUUUCAUAGCAUAUGCACACAAAAUAUAAUGUUGCAAAAUAAGUUUUAUAUUUUAUGUAUAUAAUUAUAAGUAUAAUAUUUUCUCAUCUUCUAGUACAAGUUUUGUGCAUAUUCUACAAAACCAAAAACAAAUUAAAACUCAACAUCUUAGCAAUAUUUUCUCAAAAAAAUAAAAAAACAUUUCGUAGUAAACGAAUAUACUUUUCCCUCACACUAAAUUUCGUAAAUAUUUUAUGAAAAUGUAAGGAAAUUACACUAUGGUCUCCUUGACACGCCCCGAUCCCGAUAUUCCUCGAAUACCAGGAUAGGCACGUGUUGGCCGACACCCGAGGGUGACGAAAGCCAUUUAUUGAAUGCAAAUGCUGAGAAUAAGAAAUAGAUAAGACCUAGAAAUAUAAAAGAAUAAUGAUUAUGCAUUUAAGAAAUGUGUUCAGAGCAUACAACUAACUAGAACACUAAAAGAAAUAAUAUAAAAAUUGAGUUAACAAAGGAGUGGGUCCUACACCGAGAGGACUCGAAGAUGCCGAUGCAAAAGUGCUUGGACGUCGGGAUUGUAUGCACCGAUUUUAAGUCCUGAAGGGGGCGCAAAACAAAGGUGAGUGGACCAAGUUUAUAUAUACAUAAUAAUAAAACAAUUAUCAACGUACUAACCCCCAGGUUUAUAUAAAGAAAACUACUAGCAUAAUAAGUGAUAGGUUUACUGAAAACCCUAGCAUGCCAUAAAACAUCUCAACAGGUAUAAUACGGAAAAACAUAUCAUCGCAUGUAUCAUUUCGUAGAUCGUCUCGUAAGUGUGGUGUGCUGCUAGUAAGAUCAUUGAAAUAAAAAUAACUCCCGACCCUAUGCCAGCACCGUGGUCUCUGCGCCCGUAGCCAGAUAUUACCAACUCCCGGCCCAAUGCCUGCUCCGUGUCCCUCAGCCCGUAGCUAGGGAUUAUUUCUCCCGGCCCAUAUGCCAACACCAGAUCCUCGCCCUAGGCGACAUACUGUCCACUAGGUACGCACAAAUAGUUAUGCCUCUCAUAAAUAACCAUUUCAUAGUAUAAAGUCAUCCAUCGUCUAUACCAUAAAAAAGGGUUUUGAAGACACGUUCUAGUAUCCUAUCGUCAUCCAUCAGAUAGUCUACCAGUUCAUGGUUUUUAUAGAAAAUACGAUAUAUUAAAAUAUAGCUCAAUAUAGGCCAACAAUUAAUUCCUCACUAAAAACACGAGACGAAAAUCAACAUAUUCAAUAAACAUGCUUAACAUAAAAUCAAAUCAUAAACUCGUAAGGCAUGCUAUUCAUUUAUGAAAUUGAACUAUAAAAAUCAUGUAAUUUUAGAAGGGGUCCACUCACAGUACUUAGGCGCAAAAAACUGCGCUACUAGCGAAGACGGAAACGUCACAAUAAUUGUCCCUAAACAUUUAAAAAAACUCUACUCAAACAAUUUAAUUUAGGAAAACGGACUUCAGAAACGGGUCCAGGACGUCGAAAUUAACCUAAGAGAGGUCCCAGACAAAACCUUGAAAAGUCAACCCUAAAGUCAACGCUGACUGUUAACCGAUCAAAGUCAAAGCUGACCGUUGUCCGAGUCAACGGUCAGAGUAAAGGGUCAAAGGUCAACUAGGUCUGGGCUAAGGGUUUGGAUCAGGAUUAGGGUUUAGGUUUAGGUUAAAUAAGGUUAUGACCUUUUGUGUUUUGGUUUUGGGUAGGAAUAAAUGGGUGGUUUGGGCUUGAGCCUAAACCCAUACAACACACACAUACAAAUGCCAGCACACACACCUGCACGACAUAACACACACACACGGUACAACACACUCACAUACACACGCACUGACACACACACACACACACACCACCUACAUGGACACACACAAACACACACACCACACACAAACACAAUCCUCAGCCUAAGGCAAAGCACGGCCCAAUACACACACACACACACACUCACUCACAUGCACGGCCCAUGCAUGGCACGGCCCAUAGGCCAAUUAACCCACCAAAAGAAUAGAAACUGGGCUGGCUAAAACGGGCCUAGAGCCCGUGGGCUUGAGAAACGGCCUAAAAGGCCUGGUGUCACUGGAAUUAAUGGAGAAGAACGCCAGAGUAUUUUCUGGGAAUGAAGGACCGAGAAUCACAGAGGUGAAAUAGGGGUUAAAACCCUUGAAUUUCCAAUCAAAUUCAACAUGCAAGGAAUAGGAAUUAUACCUGAGGUUUAAUGGAAGUCAAUUCGAGUCCACAGAACUUCGAAUUUGUCGAGCUUAAACAUGAUUUGCGCUGGAGCCUCUCAUCGGGAAACUGGUAAAGGAAGAACAGGGAAUUACAGAGGUCGUUAUCAGUGAAUUCCAACUCAAAUUUCUUCCAUAAAAUUAGAAAACCCAACUAGGGAUCGAUUGGAAGAAAUCCUAAGCUGAAUCAAUGACUGGAACAUCAAGUUCCAUCUCUAGCUCGGCGGAACUCAUGGAGCUCUCCAUUCCGCUCCAUCCCGUAACCAGCUCGAACAUGCAGAGCAACACUUCAAAUAUACAAACCAACCAGAUGACGGAUUUGGUGGUUGAGGGUCAUGAUUUGAUUGGAAAGGAUGAAGGUUGUGGGUGAGGAUGCAUGGUGGUGUGCGUGGUUUAUAGAGGGAGAGGGAGUGAAACAGAAACAAAAAGAAGAAGAAGAAAGAGUCAUGGGGGGGGAACAAAGAGAAAGAGAGAGAGAUGAGGUUUGUUAGGGUGCUACCACGUGACAGUUUGAGGGAGUUUAGGAAUUUGGAUAAAAGGUCUAGAUUUAGUCAAGCUAGGGGACCAAAAUGAUAAAUUCAAUAAAACUUUGGGAAAAUAUAAAAUUACAUAUAAGUUCAGGGGUGGGGUUUAACACUCCUCUCAAGAAAUUCCAAGAAAUUCCUAGCUCCAUUAUUUUUCGUUAACUUAUAAUUCAUGGGAUCAAUUUAUGAAAGGAUGUAUGAUACACGUAAAUAAGAUCAAUUUAUAAGUGCAUUGAACAUGACAUAUUAUGUUAAUAGAGAAACAUAUAAUUUUCUUAUGUUUUCAUGCCAUGUGCACAAAAAGUUUUAUUGGUGUUGAAAAUUUUGUAUGUAUAUAAGCAUAUUUUCUCAUCUUAUAGUAUGCUAAAAGGAAACCAGAUAGUAGCAUCUUCCUAAUAAAUUCUCUAACUAACUUACACCAGGCCUAUGAAUUCACUCGCAACAAAAUUUGAACUGAGAAAAAAAUUCAUCUUACACUAUUCUCCAAUGAAAUAAGAAAGGUCAAAAUGAGGGCAAAGUGACUUUCUUUUAGCAAUAGUAACCGUUUUUUUUUAACAAACAAUAUAAUCCACACUAAGGAGCUGAGGGAGGUGGGUUAAGCCUCACAAUGACUAACAAUAAUGUGGUUCAAAUUCUCCUUUGGUGAGAAUUGAACCUAAGAACUCUCACUUACAAGUGAAGAGGAAUACCACUAGACCUUACUAUUAAGUUGCCUAAUAAUAGUUCUUUUAAAAACUAUAUAUUUGAUUACAUGAACAAUAAAGUCAUUGUAUAAUUUAUAUUUAAAACUCAUAAAGAAAGUUAUUUAGGAAAUAAAAUUAUAUUUACAAAGACAUACAAAUUUUAUUAAUCAAUAUUGAAACAAUUGUGCAUAUUUUAUGAAAGCAUAUUGAUGAGAUUAUAAUAUAGUCUCCCACAUGAAAUUCUCAGAUCUAUUAAUUUUCGUGAACUUGUGAUACACGGUAAAUGUGUGAAUUCUUCAAUGAACUUCUGAUACAUGUAAAUCAAAUCCAUUCUUAAGUUUAAACUAGAAAUGACGAAGCAACCAAGAAGAACGAAGUAGACCCAGGAGGAGCCAAUAACGCACCAACACAAAACUAAAAUACUCAUUAGGAGAGACUCACAAAUAACGUCAAGAAAAUAGUAAGGCUAGGAGAAUGGAGAUGGGCACCCAUUGGCCACAAGCUGAAGAAAGGGGUCGGGAGCUGUGAAUUUUAUAAAUAUAUGAUUUUGGUAGAGGAAAGGAGAGAGCCGCUAGCAGUAGUUUCUUAUAUAUUAGCAUUCCAAGAAUCCAUCCUGUUGACUUUUAUUAAUGUACUUCUGGUACAAUUUUAAUAAGAGUAUUAUCGGAAAGUGUAAAUAUGUAUUUUACACUAAUAAGAAAGAUGUAAAUUUGGGAGCUCAUUUAUUUAUGGUCUCUUUUAACCAGUGAAAAUGGAUAUACAUAUUUUAUUAGUCCACCUCUUAAAAAUGCAAAUAUACAUUUUAUUCACAUGUUUACACUAAUCCUUUGAGAGCUUUCCAACCAAAAAAAUUUAAAUUGUACAUUUGUAGACAUUUUGCAUCUUGUAUUAGGAGAUAAAAUUUUCAAUGUGCUUGGUACGAGAUAGUACACCACAUGCUAUUAUAUAAUUGGAAUAAAAAAUUAAUUUUUCAAGUGUUAUUCUAUUUGUAUAACGAUAUGUGUUAUAUUACUUUGUGUUUCGUGCACUGAAAAAUAUCUCUUAUCAGAUAUGCUAGUGGAGUACCAAUUUGGGGUUGUUGAAAUUAAUAUUUUUUUUUUUGUCAAAGGGUUGUUGAAAUUAUUUAAAAGAAUAAAUUAUAGUAAUGGUAUCUCAAUUUUAAUGAAAUUAGAGCAAUAAUUCUUCAACUAAAAACCUAUUAUCAUUCGUCAUUCAACUCAUCAAAAUGUGUAGUUAUGAUCAUUUUCGUCAACUUUGUCAAAAUUUUGUCAGAAUGAAUUAUGUUAGAAGGACCAUUGCUACAAUUAGAUUAAAGUUGAGGGAUCGUUCUCCAAUUGGGUUAAAAUUAAGGGACCAUUCUUCAGUUAAAUUAGAGUUGAGGGACCAUUGGUAAUAGAUUUUUAGUUGAGGGACUAUAACGGCUCGUUUUACGAGUUAAGAGACCAAUGCUAAUAGAUUUUUUGUUAGAGAUCAUUAUUUCAAUUAAGUUAAAGUUAAUUGACUAUUACUACAAUUUACUAUAUUUAAAAAGCAACUUAUUAAAAAAUCUGAUGAAUGGUGAACAGUAAAGUUUAAUGAAAAUUUUAUGAGGAUAGUGUUACCCUGGGUUUUUAAUUAAAAUUACAGCCAGUAUCUUCGCUUCUCCUUUCCCCUUUCUCCAUGUCGUCCUUCAAAUCGAAGGUUGGCGACCUUCAAUUACCUGGAGAAAUCAACAAUAAGCCAUAAUUCCUUCAAUUAGAGGAUGCUCUGCCUGUCUUCUGCUGACUUUUCUUUAAAUUUUGAGCUUAUAGUGCUCACAUGGGAACAUAGAGAGAGAGAGAGAGAGAGAGAGAGAGAGAGAGAGAGAGAGAGAGAGAGAGAUUGAAGUUUUUAUGGAAGGAAAGAAAUUUGAGCUUUGUGUAGGAUAGAGCAGGCGAGUGAGAUUGCAUGCGACGAAUCCGUUAGGUUUCUGACUUCAAAUGGCGCCGUUGUGGUCUGAUCCGUCCGAGUUAUGGAGAUCGGACAUUGGAGCUCCUAACUAGCGAUAAUUUGGAGCUGCAGAUCCGAUGAGAAAUUCAAAAUAUUUGGAAUGGCUAUGGGGAAACGGGAUGACACAGAGAGAUUGGGUGAUUAGGAUUGUGCCGUGGGCUGGGAGGUCGCGGCGGCGGCGGAAGGAACCCAGACCUAUGGGUAAAACAGUAAAAUUAUUAGAAAUAUUUUGAAAUUUAUGGGCUGGUAUUUGUUCAAUUAAUCUACGGGCUGCUAUGUGUUUAAUUAAUCUAUGGGCUGGUAUGUGUUUAAUUAAUAUAUGGGCGGGUGUUUGUUUAAUUAAUCCAUGGGCUGGUGUUUCAAUAUGACUUGGAUUUAACGUGAAAUUAUUAGAAAAUUUCUAUUAAACCAUUUGAUGGUUAUUACUUGCACGUAAGUGAAGACGCAGAAGAUAAACAUUGAAGAAGAUAAACAUCGAAGGAAAAAUGGAGAAGAUAAGAUUAUUAAAGAAAAAGGUUAGAUAAAUUAUCAUCCAACCUUAUGAUAUUUUUAGUCAUCUCUAUAUGGGCUUGUUUGACGGCCUGAAAGAUAUUGGACCUUAGAGAGAAAAUUAGAUUAAUAGCGAUUUGAAAGGUAAAACUUGUAACCUAUGUAUAAAGAUAAAUUAGAUAACACAUUUUAUUAUGAAUUCAUAACUCAUCAUUACAACAACAACAACAACAACAACAACAACAACAAAGCCUUUUCCCACUAAGUGGGGUCGGCUUUCAUAUAUGAAUCCUAGAACGCCAUUGCGCUCGGUUUUGUGUCAUGUUCUCCGUUAGAUCCAAGUACUCUAAGUCUUUUCUUAGAGUCUCUUCCAAAGUUUUCCUAGGUCUUCCUCUACCCCUUCGGCCCUGAACCUCUGUCCAGUAGUGACAUCUUCGAACCGGAGCGUCAGUAGGCCUUCUUUGCACAUGUCCAAAUCACCGGAACCGAUUUUCUCUCAUCUUUCCUUCAAUUUCGGCUACUCCUACUUUACCUCGGAUAUCCUCAUUCCUAAUCUUAUCCUUUCUCGUGUGCCCACACAUCCCACGAAGCAUCCUCAUCUCCGCCACACCCAUUUUGUGUACGUGUUGAUGCUUCACCGCCCAAACAUUCUGUGCCAUACAACAUCGCUGGCCUUAUUGCCGUCCUAUAAAAUUUUCCCUUGAGCUUCAGUGGCCUACGACGGUCACACAACACGCCGGAUGCACUCUUACACUUUCAUCCAUCCAGCUUGUAUUCUAUGGUUGAGAUCUCCAUCUAAUUCUCCGUUCUCUUGCAAGAUAGAUCCUAGGUAGCGAAAACGGUCGCUUUUUUGUGAUCUUCGCUAGAUUGCUCCGGUCAUUAGUGUGGAUAAGUAUAUAAAUGGAUAGAGAUAGGAAAGCAAACACAAGAUGUACGUGGUUCACCCAGAUUGGCUACGUCCACGGAAUAGAGGAGUUCUCAUUAAUUGUGAAGGGUUUACACAAGUACAUAGGUUCAAGCUCUCCUUUAGUGAGUACAAGUGAAUGAUUUAGUACAAAUGACAUUAGGAAAUAUUGUGGGAGAAUGAUCUCGUAAUCACGAAACUUCUAAGUAUCGGAGUGUGGUAUCGUCUUGACUUGCCUUAUCUGUCUCAUAGGUAGAUGUGGCAUCUUCUCUGGAAGUACUCUUCCUCCAUCCAGGGGUGGUAUCUUUAACUGGUGGAGAUGCACAAGGUAAUGUAUCAAUUUCACUUGAAGCUUACUUGUAGUUUCAGGCUUGGUCAAGCGCGAUACAAACCAUGUAGUAGGAGUCCCCCAAGUCGCCGAGCUAGGGGAUCUGCUGAAAGAGGUGACAGACAAGGUAAGCAAUCAGAGCUCCGGCUGAUUGUUCACAUUCUCCCUAUCUUGCAGGCAGCAUGAAGGAUAAAGAGAAGAAAAAUGAGAAGAGAUGAUAUGGGAUACUUUUGCUUUUGAAGAAGUAACUUUCCACAGGCUUAUUCUUGAACUGAGCUGGAGGGUUUUCUGGUUUCCUCCAGAGUAUAAGGCCGACUGAAGAAUUUGAGGGUCAAAACAAGUCCAUCAAAUCUAGAGUACGUUCGACCCUGCUGAUAUGGGAUACUUUUGCUUUUGACAGAGUAAUGGAUGUAUCGGCACGUGUGCUGUUACGCUUGUCUCCACAUGCUUCCUUGUAUCCUUCUCACUUGCCCUAUCUGUUCCUCAGGCAGAUGCGGUAUCUUCCCUGGAAGCAUAAGAUGUUGAAGAUGAGUACUCGAGAGCAAUGCCAGGUAAGUAAUCAGGUAAGGGGUUCCAGGCAGUCAGUUCCUGGCUGGAAGCUUGAUUCCAAGUGCUGACUGAAUUGCUCUCUUUCUCCUUGUCUUGCAGGUAAGAACAAGGCCAAAGGAAAAGACAGGGAAAAAGCAUGAUAUGGGAUACUCUUGCUUUUAACCCUGAUGAUAUGAGAUAUUCUUGCUCUAGUAUAGCUUGUUUGCAGAGGUAUUAUCGGGGGGAAAGAAAGCUGAAUAUUUCGAAAGGCUUCGUUGGGAGUGCCCUCUCAGAUAUGAGGAAGGGUUGAGCAUUUUUGCAGGUCUGCCUGUCCGUUGGGGAUGGAGGUCGACAUAUAUAGGAGUCUCCCUAACAACAAGUAGUAAUGCUAUUCCUUUACCCUGCUUGGUCAUAGCACGGUAGUGGGAGCUGCCAGCUUCACAUGUUUUAACUCUGUCAGAGCACUUUGAAAAAGUGGUUUGUGGUAUCUGGAAAGCUGAUGUUGCGUGUGAAGAUUACAUACAAGCUUUAUCCAAGGAGAUCCGGCUCUUGAAGUUGGGAAAAGUGUUGCCUCUUCGGUUUUCGAACAAGCAAUCCUAUCGGGAUCUGGCUCUCGAGAUUCGGAGAACGAUGCCUCUUCGAUUUUUGAGAAAGCAAUCAUGCUGGGGGUCUGGCUCUCGAGAUUCGGAGAGCAGUGUCUCUUCGAUUUUUGAGAAAGUAAUCAUGUUGGGAGUCUGGCUCUCGAGAUUCGGAGGGCGGUGCCUCUUCGAUUUUGGAGCAAGCAAUCUUGUUGGGAGUGUUUUCUCGAAUGUGAGUAAAGGUUGGGCAUGUUUGCUAGUCUACCUUGCCACGAAGCACAGAGGUUGACACACAGGGACUUUCCAAUUAUCCAGCAAUGGUACUGUUCCUUUACCCUCUCUUCGAUUUUUGAGAAAGUAGUCAUGUUGGGAGUCUGGCUCUCGAGAUUCGGAGGACGGUGCCUCUUCGAUUUUGGAGCAAGCAAUCUUGUUGGGAGUGUUUUCUCGAAUGUGAGUAAAGGUUGGGCAUGUUUGCUAGUCUACCUUGCCACGAAGCACAGAGGUUGACACACAGGGACUUUCCAAUUAUCCAGCAGUGGUACUGUUCCUUUACCCUUGUGGGUAAUAAUAUGGUAGCUAGACCUUCAAAAUUUAUGUGUCUAAACUUUGUUAGUGUUGUUUCUUUGCUAUUCUUUUACCCUUCUUGGUCAGAGCGAUGUAGUGGGAGCUGCAAGCUUCACGUGUCUCAACUUUGGCAGAGAACUUUGGCAAAGUUAUCUGUGGUACCCAUGAGCUACUGUUGCGUGUGGGAAGUGGGUGAUUGAACAGUAAGAUUCAUGUGCUUUCUACUUCACCAGAAGUCUUCGACAGAAUGCCCAUAAUUUCCGCAAAGCUGAGUGUGCGUGUGACAGGUGCUGACAAGGCUGGAAAAGUAGGUGCCUCUUCGAUUUCUGAGAUCGGCCCUCGUGGUCUCUGAGCAGCCCAGCUUUUGAGAAAGCAAGCGCCUCUUCGAUUUCUGAGAUCGGCCUUCGUGGUCUUUGAGCAGCCCAGCUUUUGAGAAAGCAAACGCCUCUUCGAUUUCUGAGAUCGACCCUCGUGGUCUCUGAGCAGCCCAGCUUUUGAGAAAGCAAACGCCUCUUCGAUUUCUGAGCAGGCGCCUCUUCGAUUUCUGAAGCUCCGUCGAGUGCAGAUUUUUUAUAGGGGCUGGCAUUAAGUUCCAAAGCACACUUGAAUCUCCACCAGUAGAAGCUCCAUUCUUGCACUUCUAAGAUCUUGAUUUGUCCGACCUCUUCUCUCUUCAACACCUUUGAAAAUGUCUGGCCCCUCCGACCGUCGUUUUGACUUGAACCUUGUUGAAGAGGCAGCCCCGCCUUCUCCAGACAACAUAUGGCGCCCAUCCUUCGUCUCCCCUACUGGUCCUCUACCGUUGGGGAUUCCGUGAUGAAGAAUGAUAUGACCGCUGCGGUGGUGGCCAGGAACCUUCUCACUCCCAAAGAUAACAGACUACUUUCCAAACGGUCUGAUGAGUUAGCUGUUAAGGAUUCUCUGGCUCUCAGUGUUCAGUGUGCAGGUUCUGUGUCUAAUAUGGCCCAACGCCUAUUUGCUCGAACCCGCCAAGUUGAAUCAUUGGCGGCUGAAGUGAUGAGUCUCAAACAGGAGAUUAGAGGGCUCAAGCAUGAGAAUAAACAGUUGCACCGGCUCGCACAUGACUAUGCUACAAACAUGAAGAGGAAGCUUGACCAGAUGAAGGAAUCUGAUGGUCAGGUUUUACUUGAUCAUCAGAGAUUUGUGGGUUUGUUCCAAAGGCAUUUAUUGCCUUCGUCUUCUGGGGCUGUACCGCGUAAUGAAGCUCCAAAUGAUCAACCUCUGAUGCCUCCUCCUUCUAGGGUUCUGUCCAGUACUGAGGCUCCGAAUGAUCCCCCUCCGGUGCCUUCUCUUUCUGGGGCUCUACCGACUGCUGAGACUUCUCCUAAGCAACCUUUGUGAAGGCUCCCUCUUGUUUGUUUAUUUUGACUCAUGUAUAUGUACAUAUUUGUAGCUUAUCGGGGAUAUCAAUAAAUAAGCUUUCCUUCAUUUCAACGUAUUGUGUUAAAUACACCAAAGCCUUCUUCGCUAAGUUCUUUGAAUUUUCUUUUGUUGAAGCUUGUAUGUUGAAGUGAGUGGAGCAUGUAGGUUGAGGUAGUGUUCCCUUAAUUUCCCGAGUGAGGAAAACUUCUCGGUUGGAGACUUGGAAAAUCCAAGUCACUGAGUGGGAUCGGCUAUAUGAAUCUUAGAACGCCAUUGUGCUCGGUCCUGUGUCAUGUCCUUCGUUAGAUCCAAGUACUCUAAGUCUUUUCUUAGAGUCUCUUCCAAAGUUUUCCUAGGUCUUCCUCUACCCCUUCGGCCCUGAACCUCUGUCCCAUAGUCGCAUCUUCUAAUCGGAGCGUCAGUAGGCCUUCUUUGCACAUGUCCAAACCACCGUAACCGAUUUUCUCUCAUCUUUCCUUCAAUUUCGGCUACUCCUACUUUACCCCGGAUAUCCUCAUUCCUAAUCUUAUCCUUUCUCGUGUGCCCACACAUCCAACGAAGCAUCCUCAUCUCCGCUACACCCAUUUUGUGUACGUGUUGAUGCUUCACCGCCCAACAUUCUGUGCCAUACAGCAUCGCCGGCCUUAUUGCCGUCCUAUAAAAUUUUCCCUUGAGCUUCAGUGGCAUACGGCGGUCACACAACACGCCGGAUGCACUCUUCCACUUCAUCCAUCCAGCUUGUAUUCUAUGGUUGAGAUCUCCAUCUAAUUCUCCGUUCUUUUGCAAGAUAGAUCCUAGGUAACGAAAACGGUCGCUCUUUGGUAUUUCUUGAUCUCCGAUCCUCACCCCUAACUCGUUUUGGCCUCCAUUUGCACUGAACUUGCACUCCAUAUAUUCUGUCUUUGAUCGGCUUAGGCGAAGACCUUUAGAUUCCAACACUUCUCUCCAAAGGUUAAGCUUUGCAUUUACCCCUUCCUGAGUUUCAUCUAUCAACACUAUAUCGUCUGCGAAAAGCAUACACCAAGGAAUAUCAUCUUGAAUAUGUCCUGUUAACUCAUCCAUUACCAACGCAAAAAGGUAAGGACUUAAGGAUGAGCCUUGAUGUAAUCCUACAGUUAUGGGAAAGCUUUCGGUUUGUCCUUCAUGAGUUCUUACGGCAGUCUUUGCUCCUUCAUACAUAUCCUUUAUAGCUUGGAUAUAUGCUACUCGUACUCCUUUCUUCUCUAAAAUCCUCCAAAGAAUGUCUCUUGGGACCCUAUCAUACGCUUUUUCCAAAUCUAUAAAGACCAUGUGUAAAUCCUUUUUCCCAUCUCUAUAUCUUUCCAUCAAUCUUCGUAAGAGAUAGAUUGCCUCCAUGGUUGAGCGCCCUGGCAUGAACCCGAAUUGGUUGUCCGAAACCCGUGUCUCUUGCCUCAAUCUAUGCUCAAUGACUCUCUCCCAGAGCUUCAUUGUAUGACUCAUUAGCUUAAUACCCCUAUAGUUCAUGCAAUUUUGUACGUCGCCCUUAUUCUUGUAGAUAGGCACCAAAGUGCUCGUUCGCCACUCAUUUGGCAUCUUCUUCGUUUUCAAAAUCCUAUUGAAAAGGUCAGUGAGCCAUGUUAUACCUGUCUCUCCCAAAACUUUCCACACUUCGAUUGGUAUAUCGUCUGGGCCUAUUGCUUUUCUAUGCUUCAUCUUCUUCAAAGCUACAAACCACUUCUUCCUUCCGGAUUCGACGAUAAAAAGAGUAGUUUCUACACUCUUCUGAGUUACUCAACUCCCCUAAAGAAGCACUCAUUUCAUGUCCUUCAUUGAAAAGAUUAUGAAAAUAACCUCUCCAUCUGUCUUUAACCGCGUUCUCUGUAGCAAGAACCUUUCCAUCCUCAUCCUUGAUGCACCUCACUUGGUUUAGGUCCCUUGUCUUCUUUUCCCUUGCUCUAGCUAGUUUAUAGAUAUCCAACUCUCCUUCUUUGGUAUCUAGUCGUUUAUACAUAUCGUCGUAAGCCGCUAACUUAGCUUCUCUCACAGCUUUCUUCGCCUCUUGCUUCGCUUUUCUAUACCUUUCACCAUUUUCAUCGGUCCUAUCCUUGUAUAAGGCUUUACAACAUUCCUUCUUAGCCUUCACCUUUGUUUGUACCUCCUCAUUCCACCACCAAGAUUCCUUUUGGUGUGGGGCAAAGCCCUUGGACUCUCCUAAUACCUCUUUUGCUACUUUUCGGAUACAACUAGCCAUGGAAUCCCACAUUUGGCUAGCUUCCCCCUCUCUAUCCCACACACACUGGGUGAUUACUUUCUCUUUGAAAAUGGCUUGUUUUUCUUCUUUUAGAUUCCACCAUCUAGUCCUUGGACACUUCCAAGUCUUGUUCUUUUGUCUCACUCUUUUGAUAUGUACAUCCAUCACCAACAAGCGAUGUUGAUUAGCCACGCUCUCUCUUGGUAUAACUUUGCAAUCCUUACAAGUUAUACGAUCCCCUUUCCUCAUUAGAAGAAAAUCUAUUUGUGUUUUUGACGACCCACUCUUGUAGGUGAUCACAUGUUCUUCUCUCUUCUUAAAGAAGGUGUUGGCUAAGAAGAGAUCAUAUGCCAUUGCAAAAUCCAAGAUAUCAUAUGUUCUUUCUCCUUAUUCUUGGACAAAAUUGCACCUAUAAAACAAAUAACAACUUAGAUCAAGGCCAAGAGUCUCACGCGCCCACGAUGAAUUUGGAGGGGGGGCUUUGGUCGAAAAACCUCCGAUGCCAAAGUUAGAAUUUUGAGGGAAAAGUGUUUUGAGAAUUUUGAGUGUUUAGCAAGAGUGAAGACUAAGGUUUUUAAAGAAAAUAAGGUAGAAUAUAUAAGGCAUGGCCGGCCCCCUUGGGAGAGAAGAUGACCAGCUUCUUGUGUGUAUUUUUGGGUUUAAUUGGUAGUUUAAUUAGACAUUAAUAGAUUAAUUAGGUAAUAAAUUCACUAAUUAGCUAAUUAACAUAAUUUAAAAGGAAUGUUUUGGGGGUUACCUUGUGGAGAAGAUAUGAUGAGGGACGGAUGAAAUAUGUUAUAAAUAAAUACCUAUUUGGGCACUUUUAACUUGAUUGAGGGAUGAUUGUCCACUGCUCACGUGUAUAAAUUCCGGUGUGCCUCAAAGAUAAUUUUGUCCUUUUAACCCAAAAAUCCACGUGUCGCCUCUUGACUAUUUUUUGCUCCACAAUCAUGUCCUGUCCACUUUACUUUUAACACAACGAACAACGAAUUAGAUUAAAGUCUAUUUUAACUAGUACAUGCUUACAUAUAUUGUGUGAACAAUUUCAUUUUAUUUUGUUUUGUAUUAUAAAGUGUUGAUUAUUUUAAAAUUUCUUGAAAAAGCUUACAUGAGGUGCUCGGAUCAGAGUCGAUCGUUUUCGAGUCGUAACCCUUUUCGGAGCAGUGGGGAAGAUGGUGGCUUGGUAGUUGUGUUGGGUGAUCUCUGCCUCUUAUGAAGCUUUUUCUAUUUUUCUAUUUUUCUAAUUUUUAUUGUUAAUUUUCUUUUUAUUUGUUUGUUAUUAAAUUUUGUGGGAUCCACAUAUGUGUCACGUUAACAUUCUAACAGAAGUUUUGACGAAAAUAUAAUGGCAAAUUGAUUUGUAACAUCCAAUUCAAAGGCUACACUGAUCGAUUUCAAUUUCAAAGGUCACCUUAAUUAGUGCGUCGAUUUCCGACUAUUUGCGUUAAAGACACAUUUUAGAAAAAUCUACUACACAAAGCAGUGGGGAAGAUGGUGGCUUGGUAGUUGUGUUGGGUGAUCUCUGCCUCUUAUGAAGCUUUUUCUAUUUUUCUAUUUUUUAUUGUUAAUUUUCUUUUUAUUUGUUUGUUAUUAAAUUUUGUGGAAUCCAGAUGUGUGUCACGUUAACAUUCUAACAGAAGUUUUAACAAAAAUAUAAUGGCAAAUUGAUUUGUAACAUCCAAUUCAAAUGCUACACUGAUCGAUUUCAAUUUCAAAGGUUACCUUAAUUAGUACAUCAAUUUCCGACUAUUUGCGUUGAAGACACAUUAUAGAAAAAUCUACUACACAACGUGUGGGGGGUGUUGAUUUGAACGCCCGGUGAAGCACGGGAAGACCAAAACAUGUAGCCAGAAAAUUCGGUGUCUCGCCUUCCCAACUCGCUCGACCUAUAUAUGUGUGCUGAAACACAGAGUCGAAAACAAACAACGCACGACAUUCUCCGUUUCUCAUCAAACUAGAUUAUUUUACGUUCUCUCUGCAAAGCGUUGGAAUUUCUGUUCUUCUUUCAUCACCCAAGAACAGAUUACGUAAUUGAAUUAAGUUUUGAGUCUCAUUGUUUCCGUAAAUUAUGUCUCUGGUUUCGGUCGGAAUGGGUGCUCUGAGAACGUCAUUUCAAAUGCUGUUUGAUGCUGUAAAAUCAGCGCAGGAGGAGAAUACAAUGUUCCAACACCUACUCGGAAACAUCAAAUCCACACUGGAAUCUCUACAACCACUUAUCAAAGACAUCGAAAAGUAUAACUCCAAGGAGGGGCGGGAAAAUUAUGCAAUACAGAUGGAGGAAGGAGCAAAGCUUGUUCAAAAGUGCAGCAAAGUUGGCGUGUGGAGAAAACACACAUACACCAAGAAGCUUAAUCAACUGGACAAAUCUCUUCGAAGAGUGUUUGAUGUGCUUAAACUGCAGGUUAUGAGGGAUGCGAGGGAGACGUUGGUUCCUUUGAGGAAUAUCGAGACGGUGCUCUCUCGAAUAGAAGAGAGAUUGAAGAUAAAAAAUAACCAGCCUGAAAUGGUUAAAUGUUCGUCUGCGGUGCCUGAAGCGCCAUCGGUUACAGUCGGGUUGGAUUUGCCGUUGAAGGAGUUGAAGGUGAAGCUCCUUAAGGAUGAAAAGGUGUCUAUGCUUGUGCUGACCGCUGCUGGAGGAUGCGGGAAAACCACCUUGGCUAAAAUGUUUUGUCAAGAUCAAGAAGUCAAAGGUAUACUAUUUAUGAUUUCAACCAUACACAGUAACCAAAAUUUGUUAAAAGAAAAACAACGAAGGGGACAUGAAACUAAAGCGCACGAAAGGAAUAUAAGAAAGAUUAGAAAGACCUAUAUUCUCUGUACUAAAGUUAAGCUGAUGCCUUCCUUUUAUUAACACCUUUCCUACAUUCUGUUUGAAUAGAUACAUUCAAGAACAACAUCUUCUUUGUCAAUGUCUCGAAAAAACCCAACUUGGACCUUAUUGUACACGAACUAUAUCAACGGAAGGGGUCCGAGCUGCCUGCUUUCGAAAACGAAGACAUGGCAGCUAACUGGUUGCAACAAUUUCUGAUGGAAUCAAGACAAAAUCCUCUACUGUUUGUCCUGGAUGAUGUUUGGUCAGGAUCAGAGUCCCUUCUUGAGAAGUUUGAUCAAUUCAAGUUUUCAAAUUACAAGAUUUUGGUCACAUCAAGAUUUGCAUUUCCAAGAUUCGGUUCUCCUUAUCAUUUGGCACCAUUGAAUGAUGAAGAUGCAAUGGCUCUUUUUCACUAUUCUGCAUCCUUGGAAGAUAAGAGCUCUUAUACUUACGAAGAUCUUUCGAGAAAGGUGAUUUCUUAGUCCACAAUACACACACACACACACACACAUAUAUAUAUAUGCUUAUUUAUGCCUCAGAAGAAGGUAAAGAAAUAACAUUUGAGCAUCCACACACGUUAAUGAACUGUGAAGAAUGAGGUAAGAAGAAUGAAUGACUAGACAGUUUACAAUUUUAUCAUCUUUAUGAAACCAUUUAGAUGAUUUUCAACAAUUUAAUCAAAUAAUAAUAAUUGAGUUCAUUUUGGAUAAUGAUAUUGCAGAUUAUCAAGCGCUGUAAGGGAUGCCCACUUGCCAUUGCAUUGGUUGGGAGAUCACUUCGCGGCCAGCCUAUAGAAAUCUGGCAGAAAAGAGUAGUGGAAUGGUGCAAAGGUUCAUCUAUUCUUGAUUCUGACAAGGAUUUACUUGCUUGCCUCCAAAGCAGCUUAGAUGCCUUGGAUAAGGAGAAGGUUAUCAUCAAGGAAUGUUUCCUCGAUCUAGGUUCUUUUCCGGAGGACCAAAGAAUUGCUGCUGCCGCUCUCAUUGAUAUGUGGGCGCAGUUAUAUGGUCUAGAUGAAGAAAUUCUGACCAUUGCCAACCUUCACGAGCUCACCGCUCGAAGUUUAGCUAAUCUUGUUGUCACAAGGUAUGCAGGCUGCUCAUAAGUUUUUCUAUUUAAUUAUGUAUGCCGAACAAAUCAUUAAAGAAAAUAGUAUUGAUCAUCCAGACAUGAGAGGGAGACAGAUGGCUAUUACACUGAACACUUUGUCACCCAGCACGACAUGCUUAGAGAGUUGGCGAUCCAUCAGGCGAGUCAAGACCCAAUAGAACAUAGGAAACGACUAUUUAUAAACAUAUGUGGGGUCAAACUUCCUAAGUGGUUGACAGAACAAAAGUAUAAAGCGAUCAAGGCUCGACUAUUAUCUAUCUCAACAGGUUCCAUCAAUCUCUCCUUAGUUAAUACUUAAUACAUGUGCACUCGGGACACACGUGUGCACACACACACACACACAUUUAGGACUUCCACACAUUUAGGCUAAUAUCUUGAAGCUUAUUGUUUGCAGAUGGAGCCUUCUCAGCAAAAUGGCCAAACAUGCAAGUACCCGAAGCAGAGGUUCUAGUUCUGAAUUUUCAAACAAAGAACUAUGCCUUACCUGAGUUUGUGGAGAAAAUGGAUAAACUAAAAGUUCUAAUACUAAAUAAUUAUGGUUUGUUACCUGCUGAACUAGAUAAUUUUGAACUACUUGGUUCGCUAUCAAAUCUUAAGAGAAUUAGAUUAGAACAUAUUUCAGUUCCUUCCAUAAGCAAGGUCCUCAAACAGUUGAAAAGUUUGCAAAAGAUAUCUUUUUUCAUGUGUGAUAUCGGCCAAGGUUUCGUCCAAAUUUUAGAUGCACUGCCAAAUCUAGUGGAAUUAAACAUUGAUUAUUGCCAUGAUCUGGUGCAACUUCCUGCCAACCUAUGUGACCUUGUUCACCUUAAGAAGCUUAGCAUCACCAACUGUCAUAAGCUAUCUGCCUUGCCUGCAGACAUUGGAAAGCUAGUCAAUCUAGAAGUGUUGAGGCUUAGGUCAUGUGCAGACUUGUUAGAGUUGCCAGGCUCGAUUAGGAACCUUGAAGUUUUGAAAUUUCUCGACAUAUCCGAUUGCUUUAGCAUAAAGGAGUUGCCCGAGGACAUUGGUGCAAUGUGCAGCAUGGAAAAGAUCAACGUGAGCCAGUGUUCAAGACUGAGAGAGCUGCCUGCUUCUGUUAUGGAUCUUGAGCAGUUGAACGAAGUGAUAUGCGACGAGGAGACGAAAACCUUAUGGGAACCCUUCUCGCCAUUUCUCACAAACAUGAGCGUAAAGGUGAUCAAAGAAGAUAUCAACCUAAAUUGGCUCAACAAGCUUCCAUCCUAAGGCUAUGGUCCUUCCAUCAAUGAGUGUUGGUGCAAUGUAUGCAGUAUGAUUGUGUUUAAUGUUAUUUUUCCUUUGUAAUUUACUUCUAUUUUAUGUUUUAUGUGUUUUUAAAUAACAUGGCAGCACUGUAAAUUAUUGUAAUUAUUCACCAUGGCUGUUAUUGUAAAUAACAUGUUUGCACUCCUCAUUGUUCAAUUCUUCAUUGAUUCUCUUUGAUUUAUCCAAUCAAUGGGUGUUUGUGCAAUGUAUGCAGGGAUAAAGGCAAGGAAAGAAAAUAAGGAAAAUUAAUUAAAAGGACUUGAAAACUUUGAGUUUUAACGAAAAUGACAAAAUAAAUGGGAAAAUGAAUAGUACCAUGAUUGACUUUUUAGUGUAAAAAUAUGGUUUUUUGUUAAAAUGAACAGUAUCGGAAGUUUUUUGUUAAAAUUCCCAAGAAAAUAAGAGUUAAAAAAUAACUGGCCUUUGAUUUAUUCAAUCAAUGUAUUAACUCUAUUGGUUGUUUCUCCGCUCUCUCUCUCUUGUUGAACCUCUUCAUCCCCUUUCAGUUAAAUAGGUCAUAACAUUACUGUUUUAUUUUAAGGGUAAUGCUAAGGAUAUUAAAUUUGUAGACAAAAUUUUGCAAAUUAAGUGACAUAGAAGUUGAUAAUUAGAUUAUGAUGUGCUUAAUCCUAUUGGUAACAUAUUAUUUAGUUUGCAAAUUUUGUCCCCAUAACAUUACUCGUAUUUAAAACUAUUUAUUCAAGAGCACAACAUUUUUUUUACUAUUUUAUUUUAAACUAUUUAUGCUACAGCACAACAUUUUAAAAGUAGUUCAAUACCAAAUCAUAUGUACUAGAAAAUUAUAUAUCUCCUCGUCUCCUAACAGCGUGUCAAAUGUCUUUCCCAGCUCGUUCGUUUUCUUUGGGUGAAAUUCAUUGCUUGUUCGUUAAGUUGUAUAUAUGUGUGCUGAAACCAACAAACAACUUACAUAUCAUUCUCACUUGCUCAUCAAACUAGAUUAACAAAGAGGAUUAAGGGUCAGUUUGGGAUUGCUAUGUUUUUAAAAAAACUAAUUAUGUUAUGUUUUAUGAAUAAUCAGUUGUAAAAUAAAGCCGAUGACCGUUUGGUUAAUUGAAUUUUAAAAGUCCUAUGAAUAUGAAAAGCAGCGCAAAAGCGUUUGGUAAAAUUUAAUGUAAAAGUGAUAUAAUUGUACACAAUGAUAGAUGGACAUAGUAGUAGGAAUGGGGGCAACGACAGCAGUGGUAGUAAUGGAGGUGGUGGUUGCAGUGGAGGAAGUGAUGGUGGUGCUAAUAGUGGGAUGUGUUGGUUGAGGUGGAAAGGUAACACAGGUGGUAAGGCGUGGUGGUGCUAAUAGUGGGCUGUGUUGGUUGAGGUGGAAAGGUAACACCGGUGGUAAGGUGGUGGCAGUGGUCAUGAUGGCAAUGGUGGCAGUUGGAGUUAUGUUAGUGUCGACAAUGAUAACAAUGAUGGUGGUAAUGAUAGUUGUGGUUGUGAUGGCAAUGGUGGUAGUUGUGGUAAUGGUGGUGGUGAUGGUGUUGGCGAUAACAGCAUCGAUGGUGGUAGUAGUGGUGGUGGCAAUGGCGGCAGUGCGGUGAUGGUAGUGAUGGUGGUGACAAUGAUGGUAGUGAUGACAGUGGUGGAGGUUGUGGUUAUGGCGGUGGUGGUGGUGGUGACAAAAAUGAUGGUUGCAAUGACGAUGAUGGUGUAAGGUUAGUAUUUGGAGUGGUAGGUGGUAGUCUUUACUUUAUUCUCUAAGGAAUAGAGGAACAGAAUGUGUGUGGAAGGCUAAACAAUGUCAUUUAAAAAAAAUUAAUGAAGGUAUUACAGCAAUUAAAAAUACUUAUUAUAGACCUUUCUUUUUACUAAAGCAGCUUUUAAAAGCAACUUGCAGGCUGCUUUUAAAAGCUAUUGUCUGGAGCCCAUUGUUUAGAGUCUCUUUGUUUUGGUAAGUAUGUCUCUGGCUUCAAUCAGAAUGGGUGCUCUCAGAACGGCAUUUAAAAUGUUGUUUGAUGCUGUAAAAUUAGCGUAGGAGGAGAAUAAAAGGUUCCAACACCUCUCCCGAGACAUCAAGUUCACACUCGACUCUGUACAACCACUCAUCAAAGACAUCGAGAAACGUAUAACUCGAAAGAGGGACUGCAAAAUUUUGCAAUACAGAGGGAGGAGGGAGCAAGCUUUCAACAAUUGUUACAUCUCAAUCUCAUUGGCAUUUCUGAAUCUAGAAGAAAUGUACAUCGACUAUUGCAGUGAUUUAAUAGAGUUGCUUACCAAGAUUUGUAAUCUUAGUAAAUUAAAGAAGCUUAGCGUCACUAACUGUUACAUCUCAAUCUCAUUGGUAUUCCUGAAUCUAGAAGAAAUGUAAAUCGACUAUUGCAGUGAUUUAAUAGAGUUGCCUUCCUCUCCCUUUCAUUGUUUUCACUUUCUUCUUCCUCCUCCGACAUACACACACGGACGACAACGGCAACACCACCAUUUGUGUGGCCGUGAAAUCCUUAAUCCAAAACCCUAAAAAAUCAAGAACCUUCCUCACCGCCACUGCCCUCGCUUCGCUUCUCGCUGUCUCCAAUCCAGCCUAUCUUCAUCUCGCUGUCUCCAAGUUGUAUACUUUGAAGGAGGAGAAAUUGAAGAUGGAUAACGGAGGCAGCGACUCAAUCCUCUUCUUCUCGCUGUUUUCAGUCCAACCUCUUUUCCUUCCACAAGCAGCGACUCAAGGUUAUCUUCUCCACCUCCUCCUCGUUUUCUUUUUUCUGAAUUGAAACAAAUUCAAAGUUGUAAACUUUGAAGAAGGAGAAAUUGAAUUGUUGUUGUUCUUUUUGUCUACAGAUUCUUGAAGUAGCAGAGGAAAAAUGAGAGUUUUAUGUUUUUGUUUGUUUGUUUGUUUUUUUUUUUUUUUUUUUGCAAUUAUCAGUUUUGGCUGUGGUAGUCUAGUGGGUUUCUGGGUUUCUGUGUUUCCAUUUCUAUUGCAGAUCAGCAAAGCCAUUUCUGGUGGGUUUCUGGGUUUUGUGGAGAUCGGCAAAGGAGCACUGUUUCUUGUUUGAGGGUGUUAUUGGACUUUAGAAAGUUUCAUUAAAGGAGCACUGUAGCUCUGCGUGCUUUGAAAAAAAGCCAGUUUUCCAAAGCAGCAUUUUAGGUGCUUCAGCUUUUCUGAUGAUUUCAGCUUAUUCAAUCCAUUUUUUUUGAGUUUACCAAACACCUUCAACAUAAAAACUUUGAAAAUAAGCAACUUUUUUUUAAGCACCUCAAUGCCAAACCAUACGUAACUGUCAUAAGCUAUCUGCCUUAGCUGAAGGGAUUGGAAAGUCGGAAAAUUUAGAAAUGUUGAGGCUAAGAUCCUACACAGAACUGUUAAAGUUUCCAACCACGAUGAAGAACCUUGGAAAGGUAAAAUUUCUCGACAUAUAUGUUUGCUUCAGCAUCAAGAUGUUGCCUAAAGACAUAGUUGAAAUGGGUAGUUUAAAGAAGAUCAACAUGAGACAAUGCUCAAGGUUGCAAGAGCUGCCUCCAUCAGUCAUGGAUCUUAAGCAGUUAAAGGAAGUUGUCUGUGAUGAAGAGACAAAAUACUUAUGGGAAUCUCUCAUUGUGUCUCAACAACGUAAGGAUAAUUAUAUCAACCUAAAUUGGAUCCACAAGACUCAGUUCUGAUACUUGUGUUUCCUCGGUGAACGUGGGCUUCAUAAAUAGUAGUGUGGGAUAUUGCACGGUAUAAUCAUUUGUUGUUAAAUGAGCACUAUUUUGACAACCUUAAGAAAUUUUCUAAACUAGUGAAAUGUGAAGGGAAAUUUAAUAUCUGAGCAAUAAGUUUAAUGUGAAAGUUGUUUUAUCAGAGGGAAAAUGUGGUUUGUGUUUUUAAUGGGACUUCUUAAACUCUACUCUAACAUAGUUUCACAAUCAAUCCCUAUACGCAGUUUCUUAACCUUUUGGUUUGAAAAUUUGUAUGUAUAGUUCAACACCAUAGUGUGAUUAUGCUUCCCAAAAUACGUUUUAUAAGUAAAGGAACCAAAAAGAAAAGGUUGAAGAGUCUCCAUAAGACAAGAACUUUUAUGUCACAGGGUCAGGUAUUAAUCUCAUCGUCAGUAAGUUUCUCAAGUAUCUAUAUUCACAUUUGUUAGUCAAGUUUUCAGAAUUGUGUUCGCAUAUAAUCUGAGUUCAUUGCCAAAUGUAGUGGAAUUGAUUGUUAUUGACUAUUUGCGAUGAAUUGGUCUCAUACUAUAGUUCAACACCACCAUCUGAUUCAUGCUCUCCAAAAUAAAUUUUAUAAGUAAAAGGAACAAAAAAGAAAAGGUUGAAGAUUCUCCAUAAGAUAAGAACUUUUAUGCCAUGGUGUCAGGUGUUAAUCUCGUCCUCGAUAAGUUUUUCUAGUAUCUAUACUCACGUCUAUUGGUCAAGUUUCCAGAACAUGUGUUCACAUAUAAUUUGGAUUCAUUACCAAAUCUAGAAGAAUUGAUUGUUGUUGACUAUUGCAAUGAAUUGGUCUCAAACUAUGUUUUCCAACCAGCACAGAUUGAUCAGCUUUUUUUUUUUUUUUUUUUUUUUAAUAAAAAAAAGUUGUUUGAUUAGUCUCGUUCAAUACCGUUACGUGAUCAGCUUAAACUUAGUGGAAAUUAGGUUCACAUCCUUCUUUUUGUUACUCCAUUGAUUAAAAUCCUAUUCAUUUUCAAUUUUUGAUCAAGGUCCUUGGGUAUUAAUUACAUCAUUAAUUAUUUGAAUAAUAAAAUAUUUUUAUUUUUAAAUAUAUUCCUUUAGUGUUAAAAAUGUUACAUUUAGUAUAUUUAUAUUUAUGGUUAAAAAUUUUACCAUAUAUUUUUAUUUUUAGUUUGUACCUAUUUUUAAUUUGCAAAUAUUUUUUAAUGUACCAAUUUUCUUUUCAUUUUUAAUUUGUACCCAUAUAUUAGUUUCUUUUUGUGCCCAUAUUUUUAAAAUUUUUAUUUGUGUUUGGAUUCAUGUGUAUACCGUCACGUGACAUUGUAUAUUUAAUCAAUGAUAGAAAAAUUACAUAUGGUAUAUUUAUGUUUUAUGCCUAAACUUUGUAUCAUAUAUUUAUAUUUUUAGUUUGUACCCACUUUUAAUUUGCAACAUUUUUUUUUUAAAUUUGUAGUAUUUUCUUUUUAGUUUUAUUUUGUACCCAUGUAUUAAUUUCUUUUAGCGCCUAUAUUUUUUUUAAAACUUCAUUUGUACUCAUAAUUUUCUAAUCUUUUAUCUGUACCCUAAUUUAUUUAUAAUGUAUCCAUUCUUCUUUAUUAAUGUACCACUUUGUUAUAUGUGAAAUGUACCAAUUUUUUUAACACUAUUGAUAGAUUCUUUUGCCAUUUAUUAUUUCUUAUUUUAACAUAGUUUUUAUCCAUUUAUUCAAUCAAAAUGUUUGAAUUUUUUUAUUGUAACUGUUUCUAAUAGUAUUAUAAUGAGGGAUUUUAAAUUUAUAGGAUUAUAAAUCUCAUAAAAUAUCAAACAAUUAAUGUCAAAACUAUAAAAAUAUAAAUAUUAAUAGUAAUAUAAUGAGGUGUACAAAGUCAAGGGACUUUGAUCAAACUUUGAAUACUAUUAAAGUUUUAAUCAAAGAAUGUUAAGGAUUAGAGACCGCAUCCAAAAUAUCUCAAAAUAUUUUUCUUGUUCAAAAUUUUAAUAGUUAAACUAAUAAAGAACGGGCCAUAUUUUCUUUCUUUUAAAAGUUGUUCACAUAGAAGUGGUCAUUGACAAAGUAGAUAAUGAAUAAACAUUGUAAUUUGGAUGAAAAUACACAAAUUCAAUACUUUAAUUAGAUUUAUAUACUUUAAAUGAAAAUAAACAAGUUUAAUAUUCUUAGAGAAGGGCACAAUAGAAAUUUCACAACUAAGAAUUGAUUAUAGCAUGCCAAUACUUAAAAAGCUGACUUGGCUUUGUAAUGGGAAGGGUACAAAGAAAUUUCACAGCUAAAAAUUAAUUAGAUCAUGACAAUGAGGUAGAUGAGGGGGUUCUUUACUCCAAAUGAACUCUUGAAGUAUUUUUAUAGAGAACUUAUAGUUUUGAAACAAAUAAUUGUACAUUAGAAAAAGAUAGCUCAUAUUUUCAUUGAAAAAGAGAGCUGAUUUUUAUUAAUUAACAUUGAAGUUUUUGCCUAUUAAAAAAAUGUGGGUCUUAUUUUUUAAUAGAGGUAGGACCCACCAACACAUAUUAGUCUCAUCUCUAAUAACAUUUUUUUGCAAAAAUUAUUCACUGCUUCCUAAUAAAGUAAACAAGGUCAAAAGGAGGACAAAUUGGUUUUCUUUUAGCACUAAUACUCUUUUAGAAACUAUGUAUUUGAUUGUAUGAACAAUAAAGUCAUUGUACAAUUUAAAUUUAAAACUCAUAAAGAAAAUUAUACAAGGCAUAAAAAAUUUAUUAAUCAACAUUGAAACUUUUGUGCAUAUUCUAUGAAAACACAAGGAAAUUAUACUAUGAUCUCCUCACAAGAAAUUCUGAACUCUUUCGUUUUUCAUGAACUUGUGAUACACGGUAAAGGGGAUGAAUUCUUCAAUGAAAUAUUGAUACACAAAUGAGACCUAUUCAUAAGUUUAUUGAAAAUAAUGAAGCGCAUAGGAGUACUCCAGCCCAUAAUACAAUUUUCUUGUGUUUUCAUAGCAUAUGCACCCAAAAUAUAAUGUUGAAAAAUAAGUAUUAUUUUUUAUGUAUAUAAAUAUAAUAUUUUCUCAUCUUCUAGUACAAGUUUUGUGCAUAUUCUACAAACCCAAAAAUAAAUUAAAAAUCAACAUCUUAGCAAUAUUUUCUCAAAAAAAAAAUAAAAAAUUGCUCGGUAAACAAAUAUAUUUUUCCACACUAAAUUUCGCAAAUAUCCUAUGAAAAUAUAAGGAAAUUAUACUAUGGUCUCAUCUAAAAAAAAAUUCCAAAAAUUCUCAGCUCUAAACUUAUAAUUCAUGCAAACGGGAUCAAUUUAUCAAAGGACUUAUGAUACACGUAAAUGAGGUCAAUUCAUAAGUCCAUUGACCAUGACAUAUCAUGUGAAUGGGAAUAGAGAAGCAUACGAGUUUCUUAUGUGUUCAUGGCAUGUGCACAAAAUGUUUUAUUGGUGUUGAAAAUUGUGUAUGUAUAUCAGCAUAUUUUCUCAUCUUGUAGUAUGCUAAAGGAGUAGAUCGCAACAUCUUCAUAAUAAAUUCUCUACCUAGCUUACUCUAGGCUUAUGAAUUCACUCGCAACAAAAUUUGAACUGAAAAAAAAAAGUGACUUUCUUUUAGCACUAAUAAUAGUUUUUUUUUUUUUUGAAUAAACGAUAUUAUAUACCCUAAGAGGGUGGGGAGUGAGCUAAACCUCACAAUGGCUAGCAAUAAUGUGGUUCAAAGUGGUUCAAUGUGGUUCAAAUUUGUCUUUUGUGGAAAUCGAACUUAAGACUUCUCACUUACAAGUGAAAAGAAACACCACUAGACCAUAGUAUUAAGUGGCCUAAUAAUAGUUCUUUGAAAAACUAUAUAUUUGAUUGCAUAAACAAUAAAGUCAUUGUAUAAUUUAUAUUUAAAUUAAAACUCAUAAAGAAAAUUAUAAUUGUCAAGCCCUGAUCCCGACAUAUGUCCAAGAUCGACACAUGAUGUCAGCUCAUCCCUAUUUAUUUAUCAUCUCAUCUCCGAGACAAGUCCAAAACCCAAUCAAUGAUUCAACCAAGCAGUGACUUUCCUUUAUUUCAUGGCUGAAUCUAACAUUUGCAUUAGACUGCCUAUGUACCCUAAAUAGGGAUCAAGCCAUUCAUAGUUCACCAUUCACUACACUCCAAUGUUUAUCACAGUACGUUCUAACAAAAAGGCAUAGCAUCCCUCAAUCAAUUAUUAAAACUUGACAAGCAUGAAAUUACUAGAUUUAGGGCUACAUAAUAAACCCACAUGACAAUCAAGAUUUCCACAUCAUCCAUCAUAUAAAUCACUAUGUUUCAACAUAAUAUUGCAAUUCAUAGCAUGCAACAUCUCAAAGAACAAUCAACGAAGCGUAAUAUUAUUCUCUAGCCACAUUGGUCAACGAGUCUAACCAUAAUAAUAACAAUCAUAUCCAACAUCAUUCCACAAUCACUCCAAUUAAUCAAUUCCAUGAAUCAAAGAAGCACGAUAUUAACAUUUAACUACGUUCAUCAAUCAAUACGAUCACAUAUUAAUUCACAAAAUUUAAUAAAGGAAUCCUACAUAAUUUCCUACCUGGAUUCCAAGUAAUAACAUGAUAAAUCUAAUUUAUAAACACAAUGUCUACUGUGAGCAAUUCCUAUUCACUCGAAUCUAGGGGCCGGAAAUGAGCAAGAAUAGGGAUUAUGGACAGUCACCGGAAUCUAACUAAAUUAUGGUUGCCUAUCGAACUGUACUGAGUACAACUAAUCCUCAUCACCCCUAGAAUGCAUAUGGUCCCCUAUUGCGAAUAUACCAAGCAGAACCAUAGGCAUAAUCUAAGCAUGCAUGCAGUGAUCACCCAUCGAGGAUAUACCAAGCAUGAUCACCCUUGAAAUACGUAUGGUCCCAUAUCACAGAUAUAACAAGUAGGGCAAUAUCCUAUAGCUUUAGGUUGUGAUCACCCAUCGCGGAUAUACCAAGCAUGGUCACUCCUAGAAUGCGUAUGGUCCCCCCAUUAUGGAUAAACCAAGCAGAACCAUAUGCAUAGUCUAAUAAUGUAGGCAGUGAUCACCCAUCGUGGAUAUACCAGGCAUGAUCACUCCUAGAAUGUAUAUGGUCCCUCAUUGCAGAUAAACCAAGCAGAACCAUAAACAUAGUCUAAUAGUGCAUGUGGUGAUCACCCAUCGCAGAUAUACCAAACAUGAUCACUCCUGAAAUACGUAUGGUCCCCUAUUGUGGAUAUACCAAGCAGAACCAUCCUAACCACUGCUACAUGGUGCAGUCAUAUCAAUACACAAUAAUUACCAAAUUAAUAUGAAUCAUAAUUCCUAGCAUACACACCAUCAAUCCGAUAAGACAACGAUCAUUGAAUCACAUCGUACACAUUCUAUAACAUGUGUCAUUUCAUCAUGAAUCACAAUUUCAAUUGUACAUGCUAUCAAUUCCACUUAACUAACCAGUCUCCAAUUAUCCAUACAAAUGAGUUCUACGGAAUAGUUCUAACGAGGUUCCAACUCAUAUUUUCAUACAAUAUAUAUAUGAUAGAAAAGUAAUAUUUUAAUAUAAAACACAUUUAUAAAACCAUGCCAUAUCCAUUAAAUAUACUAGCAAGGGAAUUUUUAGGGUAAUCAUUGAUACCACAUGAUUAGAACAUUAGUCCUUGCCAAAAAAAAAAAAAAAAAAAAAAAAAAACCUAACCCUAGAUUACAUAUUCAAUUUAAUCUCUUGAAGUGUACUUUUAUCAAAAUUUAUAUUCAAUUUUUGUUAUUUAAUGUGUAUUUUUAUUUAAUCUCUCUACAUUAAAUUUUAAUUUUAUUAAUGCACAUAUUUAGUCCUUUAAUUAUAAAUGAACACAAAUGAGAAAAUAUUUAAAAAAAGUUGCGAUACAAAAAUAUAUAAAUACAUAAGUGUACAGAAAUGACUGUGCAGAAAUAUAUAAAAUUAACUUUUUUUGCACCGAAAUAUUUGUACCUGCAUGAUUGUACCGAAAUAUAUUAUAAUGAAUCUAAAUGUAUGUACCAAAAUGUAUUAUAUAGAAUUAAUGUACCAAAAUGUCAAUACCGAAAUGUAUGUACCAAAAUGUACAUACCAAAAUGUAUAUGUGAACACGGAAAAUUCCUGAAACGAAAGAGACAAGAACGACGUGCACAAACAAAAUAUUUGUAUUUUUGAAGAUUUUGGGUUACAAUCUCUCUCUAUUUUGAUCCUCUGAUUCGAUCUCCGUAAGGUGUUGAUUGAUGGAUGUUUUGUUGAUCCAAGGGUCGUUGAUGCUUAAUCUUGGAUGAACUGUUGGAAGUUUCUUCAAAGGGCCGUGGGCUUGAUCUUUAAGGUGGAUUUGAGCGGAUCUUCAAGGAGCCGUUGGGGCUUGAUCUUGAAGAACAGUGAUGAACGGAUCUUCAAGGGGUUUUGGGCUUGAUCUUGAAGAACAGUGAUGAACGGAUCUUCAAGGGCUUUUGGGCUUAAUCUUGAAGAACGGUUGGAUGUGUGUGGAUUUGUCGAUGUUUGUUGAUCCAAAGGGCCGUUGGGGCUUGAUCUUGGAUGAACGGAUGAUGAACGAUGGUGCUUUCUUCAAGGGCCGUCGGGGCUUGAUCUUGAAUUGGUGGAAGUUCUUCAAGGGCCGUUGGGGCUUGAUCUUGAAUUGGUGGAUGAUUGUUGAUCCAAAGGGCCGUUGGGGCUUGAUCUUAGGAUGAACGAUGAACGAAGAACGCUUUCUUGAUUCUUCGGGAACCUGGAUGCUUGAGAGCUUCGGAGUUUCAGAGCUUCAGGGCUUCAAGGUGUAAUCUCAAUUGGUCCCCCCAUUUGGAAUGAAAUAGCCUUCUAUUUAUAGAAAUUUCCAAGGCCUAAUUUUGAAUAUAAUAUUCCAGAUGAAAUAAGUCGUUUCUGCCAGGUGUUGACACGUGUCCUAUUUGAUGACUUUUCCAACUCAUUUCAAUUUUCAUUGAGUCACACGCUACGUGUAAAAUUUAUGUAAUACAUGAGCGUUGACACACUUUGAUUUAUCGGUCAACAUUUAUUUACCGAAAUUUCGAUGUCUACAAAUGCCCCCACUUCAAGGCACGUCGUAUACAUGUGCUUGUCACGUGUAGGAGAUGCGUUUUGAAGUCCCUUACUGUAGAUGUCGAUCCAAGGGCCGUCGAGGCUUGAUCUUGAAUUGGGCUGGAGAUUUCUUCAAGGGCCGUUGAGGCUUGAUCUUGAAUUGGGCUUGAGAUUUCUUCAAGGGCCGUUGAGGCUUGUUCUUGAAUUUUUGUUUGAAAUUUCUUCAAGGGCCGUCGAGACUUGAUCUUGAAGGUUGAAAUUGGACCACAAGGAGCUUCAUGUGGUAGAUGAUCUUUGGCUUUGGUAGUGGGUGAAUCGGCACAUAUUUUGUUGCGCUUGUUGACUUUCCACAGCUUUGAUCUUGAACUGGGUUGAAGGAUUUUCUGGAUUCCUCCAAUUGUUGAUUUUCCACAGCUUAUUCUUGAACUAGGUUUUGAUUCAAGGGUGGUAGACACUUAAUCUUGAAUCGGACUUGUAAUUUCCUCAAAAGCCGUCGAGGCUUGAUUUUGAAUUUGGCUGGAAGCUUCUUCAAGGGCCGUUGAGGCUUGAUUCUUGAAGGCUGACUCGAACACAUGGCAAGAAGGCACGAGGUGAAGGUGACGACUUGUUGCUUUGUUCAAUCUUUCUAAUUCACACCUGAGCAGUUUGGUCAACGGUAUGAUCUUCAAGAUUGAUGGGCUCUUCUUCCAGUUGGUGACUUGAUCUUUAAGGAUUUGAUUCAAGGGUGGUGAAUCGGCACGUGCAGCCCACAACGCCUAGUAAGUCGACCCAAGAAUUUGAGGGUCAAAACGAGUUCUUCAUCUCAGACUCUUUCUGCCGAGUUGACUGUGCAUGCUGCAUUCUUCUCUGCUUGUUUCUUCAGGCAGAUAUGGCAGCUUCUCGAGUUCUUCAGCUCGGACUCCUUCUGCUGAGUUGACUGUGCAGACUGCAUUCUUCUCUGCUUGUUCCUUCUGCACCUUGUCUCCACAUGCUGCAAGGUAUCAUUUUCACUUGCCUUAUCUGUUCUCCAGGCAGAUGUGGCAGCUUCUUUGGAAGUACAACAGCAGUGGGAAACGAGUACUCGAGAGCAGUGCUAGGUAGGCAAUCAGGGAAGGGUUCCAAGCAGUCGGUUCCUUACCCGAGUUUGAGUGGAAGUUCCGGCAUAUUGUUUUCUUUAUCCUUGUCUUUGUAGGUAAGAACAAGGACAAAGGAAAGGACAGGGAGAACGCAUGAUAUGAGAUAUACUCUUGCUUUCUACCCUGGUGAUAUGAGAUACUUUUGCUUUGGAGUCAUUGGCUUGCAGAGGUACCCCAAGGAAUAAGGAACAUUGAAUGACUCGAGAGGCUUCGUUGGGAAAGCAUUUUUUUGGAGAUGAAGAAAGGCUCUGUAUGUCUGCCUUGCUAUGGAAGGCGAAGGUAGACAAUUAUAGGAAGUUCUUUGAUACCUGUAGAGGUACUAUUCUUUCACUCGUGUCGGCAACCAAUGCGUGAUCGAUCUAUAUGGCUUCACAUGCUUUCUUCUUUAUCAGAAAUCUUUGACAAAUUGUCCGUAAUUUCCGCCAAGCUAAGUGUGCAUGUGACAGGUGUUGACGCGGCUGAAAAAGACUGACGCCUCUUCGAUAACUGGGAUCGGCGCUUCGACAAAUUACCCGUGAUUUCCGCAAAGCUGAGUUUGCGUGUGAUGGGUGCUGACGUGGCUGAAAAAGACUGGCGCCUCUUCGAUAUCUGGGAUCUGCGCUUCGACAAAUUGCCCGUGAUUUUCGCAAAGCUGAGUUUACAUGUGACGGGUGCCGACGCGUCUGGAAAAGCAAGAUGCUUCUCCGAUUUCUGAGCUUGCCUCUUCGAUUUUUGAAUGGCCUCUUCGUAUUCUGAGCUCGCCUCUUCAAUCUCUGAAAUCCCGUCGAGUGCUGAUUUUUUUUUAGAGGCACGCUGUUCGUUUCAAAGCACACUUGAAUUUUACUUGUGAAAACUCCCUUCUUGCACUUCUAAGAUCUUGAUUCGUCCGACCUCUUCUUUCUUCAACACUUUGAAAAUCUCUGGUCCAUCUGACCGUCGUUUUGAUUUGAACCUUGGUGAAGGGGCAGUCCCUUCUUCUCCAGACAACAUAUGGCGCUCAUCCUUCAUAUCCCCUACUGGUCCUCUUACCGUUGGGGAUUCAGUGAUGAAGAAUGAUAUGACCGCUGCGGUGGUGGCCCGGAACCUUGUCACUCCCAAAGAUAACAGACUACUUUCCAGGCGGUCUGAUGAGUUGGCUGUUAAGGAGUCUCUGGCUCUUAGUGUGCAGUGUGUGGGUUCUGUGUCCAACAUGGCCCAACGCCUAUUUGCUCGAACCCGUCAAGUUGAAUCGUUGGCGGCUGAAGUGAUGAGUCUCAAACAGGAGAUUAGAGGGCUCAAGCAUGAGAAUAAACAGUUGCACAAGCUCGCACACAACUAUGCCACAAACAUGAAGAGGAAAAUUGACCAGAUGCAGGAAUCUGAUGGUCAGAUUUUACUUGAUCAUCAGAGGUUUGUGGGUUUGUUCCAGCAGCAUUUGCCUUCGUCUUCUGGGGCUGUACCGCGUAACGAAGCUCCAAAUGAUCAACCUUUGGCUCCUCUUCUUCCUGGAGUUCCGCCGAGUGGUGUGACUUCAAACAGUCAACCUCCGACGUCUCUUUUUCCUAGAGCUCCACCGAGUACUGAGACACCACUUGAGCAAUAAAGACUCCCUCCCGUUUGUUUGCACAUUUGUAAAUUUUUUUUUUUUUUUUUUGGUAUGUAGAAUGCAAUUUUAUGUAAAAUUUCGAGAAAAAAAAACAAAUAAAAUGGACUUUUAUUUCUCUUAAUGCUUUUUUUUUGUUUGCUGUAUAUAUUAUACACACACACAUUUAUAUAUACACAUACAUACAUACAUACAUAUAUAUAUAUAUAUAUUUUUUUUUCUUUCACGUGGAGUGAUCCACCAUCCCAAACCCAUUUUCCCUUUGUUUUUUUUUUUUGCAUGGUGCUAGCCAUCAAGAAUCCACCUUCCCUUUUUUUUUUUAUUAUUUUAUUUUAUUUUUUGGUCUGCUUUCACAUGGUGCUGAUCCACCAUUCCCCUUUUCUUUUCUUUUUUCACGUUGUGCCAGAUGCACCAUCCCCUCCUUUUUUUUUUUCUUAUAAUUAUUAUUAUAUUUUUUUUUCUGUAUAAAUUUGGGUGAUGGGUAGAGGAAUUUGCAGGGAGCGGAGCAAGGAGGCCGAGAAGAUGGUGCUUCGAGCUUCACGACCGGCUAGUCGUUUGACGGCAGUCGUUGAAGUUCUUUGCUAUCAUGGUGGUCAUAGUGACGAGCUCGAGGGAGGCUAGGCGCUGCGGUGGAAGAUGGGCAGAGAUGAGCGGUGCAGCUUUGGAAGUAGCAGGAGAUGACGGAGAAUGAGUCUCGCUCGAUGGCGUUUGAGAUUGGGCUGCCCCAUGCAUUCACAAGUACAUCCUUACCUCGAACCUUUGCGGGGACCAGCUUCUGCUUGGGAACGAUCCUGCAGUGAUGAAGGUGGACUUGGCGAGGCGGAGUGCUAAGACCGGGAGCUGGAUUCGACAGAUGAAGACUCGAAGUUGAUGCCGGUGUUGUGGCGACGGAAGCGUUGUGCAGCAACGUUGUGGGCCCUGGCGUCCGUUUGGCUGUGGGACCACGCUUUUGUACUUGGAGGAAGGGAGCUUCCGAGACUCGACCUCGAAGCUGCCGGUGCCGCCGCUGUUGCUGAGCUUUGAGUCCAGAAGUGCACUGCCCGUGCUGAUGUUGCCGAUGCGGUCGGGAAGGAGGAGUUGACAGCAGGCUGAUCACUAUGAACGGCUUAAGCGGCGGAGAUGGCGACUUGGUCUACUUCAACGGCAAGGAGGAGAUGCAUGAGGCUCAACUCUUGUAGUGCCGUGAGGUGGGAGACCUUCUUGUGGUUGUCAGGGUCUCUGACGGUGGUUCUGACGGCGUAGCCCUUCUGGAGUAGCAGCUUGACCAGCAGAGACACCACGAACCCGGUUCUGCCGAUGACGCAAGCCGUCUUCUUCGAGAUGGGUUGUUGGGUGGCCAUGGCUUCCUCUUCCUCUGUCAGAUUUUUAGUUGAAAAGGUGGGUGAUUUAUAACUCUUUGGAGAUUGGGAACCCUUGGCCGUGGCAGGAACUGAUAUGUUACUUUGUAGAUAUCUCUGGCUUGCUGAUACCGUGCUGUCUAAAGAAAUGCUUUCGUUGCUUGUUUGAGAUGCAAAAUUUGAGGCGUGAUCAUUUCCUGUAUCUAUCAUUCCUUUCGUCUUCUGCAUCGCUUCAAGUAUUUGCUUAAGAGCUUUGAGAUCAUUUCCUGAUUUUUUGAACUCAAGAUCUGCCAGCCUUUUUUUUCAUUUCAACAUAUACUGAAGAUGAUGAAUUUGGAGCUUUUAUAGGUUCUUCUUGUUGUUUGAAAUCUGAUCGUUGAGAACCCUUGCUUCUGUGUGGCUGCCUCCAUGGAGCUGCUUCUAUUGGAAACUUUAGAAUUGGAGAUGGGCUUCAUGACCAGAUCAGUGCCUCUCAUCUGCGGUGAGCUGUCUUUCUUUGUAUUUGCGAGGAGUAUCCCAGAAUAAGUAUCUUGCUUGUUUUCAUUGGUUGCUCUUGAUGAUCUGGAGAAGGGGAAGAGAGAGAGAGAGAGGGAGAUCGAGGAUGUUGAUGUCGGUUGGUUGGGUUGAGCUUGGUGUCGGCGCGGUGGAGCGAAUUGAGAUCAGGACCAAAGCGUCGUCGUCCAGGCUGAUCGAUUUGCGAUCACAUCGAAGCGCAAGCUUCGUGACCGAGUCGAAGUGGGCGAAGAGAGCAGGCAGGAAAGGAAGAAGCCCAGCCUGGGCGUUGAGAGAGGCGGUGCCGGCUCUGUCCGUCGACUCUCAGACACCGGUGGCAGACGAGCGAGCUCCGUUUCCGGUCGCCGGCGCAGAGGAAAUGGAAAAUACUCGCCAGACACUCGUCGGGAAGAUCAGACGUGUAGUCAGGGCCCUGAGUGACUUCCCCGUACAACUCGGAGUCUUCGUCGGUCGAGGAUGAAGCAAUCGCCACCGUUUUGAAGCUGAACCGUCGGCUCGUUGAAAUUUCUCUGGAGCUGUGCUCCGCCGGAGCCUCAGGAAGCCAAGAGGACUGUCCCAUAGUGCUGCUGCAAGUGAAUUGAACGCGCCGCCAGAAGAGAGACAGAGGGAGAGAGAGGUGGUGGUUGGUAUUUUCAACGUUAUCUUAAAAUGCGUGUGUGGGAUCUGUGAGCGACGGCGGAUCUUAGACUGAUCAUCGAGAGCGCGGUAAAUUUACCGGAGGAGGAGACGGCGCUUGAGUCGGUGACUGGAAUGGAGAAGGGUCUGGUUGGAGGAGAAAACCCGAAGUGGGUUUUGAGAGCUGGGCUUAUUGGGAUUUAGAAAGAUGGGCCGCCCUCUUUUUUUUUUUUUUUUUUUCACAAAGAAAAUGUUUGUAUUUGUAAUAAAAAUAUACUCUCAAUAGUCAAAUAUUCAAUAAAAUCUUAUUUAUUUAUUUAUUUAUUUUGAUGUGACUGAACUCGAAAUUGAAUGCUCGAGCUGCCUACGUACCCUUCCAACGAAAAGAUCAAGUCAAAACGUAGUUCAAAUACAUACAUAUUUUUUUUUGGUAUUUUCUCUUUUUUUUUUCUUUUUUUUUUUUGUGCCAUUUGCAGUUUCAGCUCAUGCAAGCAAGGAGCGUUGGUGUUGCCUUUUAUGCUCGUGCAGACCAGGAGCGUUGUGCCAUGCAGUUUAGGCUCGUGCAGGCGAGGAGCUUUGGUUCGUGCAGUUUAGGCUCGUGCGAACAAGGAGCAUUGGUGAAUUUGUCAAGCAAUUUUGGAGAGGCGUUCCUCACAAUCUUCAUAGCAAGGAGCCUUGACCGAGUGAUUGAAGAAGUCUUCGGGCAAGAAAUCACGCAUCGUGAUGGGGACGGACGAUCUAUAUGUCGAAAUUUCAUCAUCUUCAACACGUUCAUGUUGCUUUGAAGGUUGACAAGAGCUGCUUUGCCCCCUUUCCGAUUGGCGGACUUGUGGAGGAGACGUAUGCUUCUUGUGCAAUUUCUUAGGAGUGACUUGAGUCCAUCAUUCAACUUUGCUUGUCUUGGAGGAUGCCCUCAGCGGUUGAGGUGAAAACUUUGAGUCGGAAGAGCCAGAAGUGAAGGUGGUAUAGUUUGACUUCACCACAUCGUCAAGAUCUAGCUCGAUGAUUCCUUUCUGAGCCAGCUUCAUGAUGAGAUCUUUCAGCACGAAACAUUUUUCUGUCGGAUGACUGAUGAAGCGGUGGAAUUUACAGUACCUUGGACUGUCAGUGCGAUUCAUCUCUUCUGGCCGUUUGCACUCAGGCAAACCAAUCACCUUCUUUUCCAGCAAGUCUUCUAACAUGGCAACCACAUCAGAGUCGGGGAAUGGAUAAGUCCUCUCCUCAAGCUCCUUCAAAGUGCGUCUACGCAUCUCUUGAUCACGAAAAGCUUCAGUUUGAAUCGCCUUGCCUCGUGUGGAGAUUUUGAUGGGAGCUGUGACCGUCAUCGCUUCCUUGGUGGGUUUCCAUGCAGCCUUUUCCACCUUUGUCCAAAGAACUUUGUCGUUCUUGUAAUCGGCGAUCGGUUCUUUCUUCCCAUGAUGGGCGAUGCUCAACUCCAUGUCGUGGGGGCGAGUGGCCAAUUCCUCGAAGGUCCGUGGUUUAAUGCCUUGAAGGAUGUAUUGCAAACCCCAUUGCAUGCCUUGGAUGCACAUCUCGAUUGAAGAGGUUUCUGAGAGCCUGUCUUUAUAGUCGAGGCUUAGAGUGCGCCAUCUGUUGAUGUAGUCAAUGACUGGCUCGUCCUUCCACUGUUUUAUGCUCGUUAGCUCUAGCAUGCUCACAGUGCGGUGGGUGCUAUAGAAGCGGUUGAGGAAUUCCCGCUCUAAUUGAUCCCAGCUGUUGAUGGACUUAGGCUCUAGGUCCGUGUACCACUCAAAGGCGUUUCCUUUCAGCGAGCGCACAAACUGCUUGGCAAGGUAGUCCCCUUCGGUCCCUGCGUUGUUGCAAGUUUCAACAAAAUGGGCAACGUGCUGUUUCGGGUUUCCUUUUCCAUCAAACUGCAUGAACUUUGGUGGUUGAUAACCCUUUGGCAUCUUCAGGGCAUCAAUCUUCUUGGAGUAGGGCUUCGAGUAGAACAAUGAGGUAUGUGAGCUCCCUUCGUACUGUGCCUUGAUGGUGUUGGUGAUCAUUUCUUACAGUUGCUGGAUAGAAAGAGGUCCCAUAAGUGCCGCUGCUUGGUCUGGCUCCGGCUUCGCAUCGUUUUUCUCCACCUGAGGCUCAUCUUCUUCGUCAUCUCUUCUCUUUAGUGGAUCAUUCUCUAGGUCGGGUUUAUCGAUGUCCUGUGGCUCCAGUCGGCUAACGAGUGCAGCAAUUUGCAAGUCUUUUUCUUCCACAAUCUGUGUUAGCCUUGCAAUCGCUUCAUUCAUUUGAGCCAGUUGUUCUUCAACGGAGGUAACACCAAUAGUCAUAACUUGUGCGACCAAUAGACGUGACUUUCCUUUAGACAUUCAGGAUGCUAAUGAAGAACGUCGUUGGCUGCUUUGGGAUGUCAUCUUGUGUGCCUCAACAUCAUGCUUCGGUGCCCCCAGCGAGGUCAGGUUGAUGACAGACUCACACCUUGGAUGCUCCCCUUGCUCUUUUAGCGGCACCAAUUUUGAAGUGGCAUGUUGAGGAACAGUUGUGGCGCCAAUGAAUUGUCCGUUUGGGGCAGAAGUGCUUAGGAUCCUUCCCUCAGUGGUUGCAAGAACGGCUUGUCCCUUGCUUGAUGCCAUUGACUUUGAGGUGUGCUUGGAUUCCUUGAACGGAAAAAGAGAUGAGAGGUAGAGAUUGUCCCACUGGGCGUGCCAAUUUGUGAACACGGAAAAUUCCUGAAACGAAAGAGACAACAACGACGUGCACAAAUAAAAUAUUUGUAUUUUGAUGAUUUUGGGUUACAAUCUCUCUCUAUUUUGAUCAUCUGAUUCGAUCUCCGUAAGGUGUUGAUUGGUGGAUGUUUUGUUGAUCCAAGGGCCGUUGAUGCUUGAUCUUGGAUGAACUGUUGGAAGUUUCUUCAAAGGGCCGUGGGCUUGAUCUUUAAGGUGGAUUUGAGCGGAUCUUCAAGGAGCCGUUGGGACUUGAUCUUGAAGAACAGUGAUGAACGGAUCUUCAAGGGGUUUUGGGCUUGAUCUUGAAGAACAGUGAUGAACGGAUCUUCAAGGGCCGUUGGGGCUUGAUCUUGAAUUGGUGGAAGUUCUUCAAGGGCCGUUGGGGCUUGAUCUUGAAUUGGUGGAUGAUUGUUGAUCCAAAGGGCCGUUGGGGCUUGAUCUUAGGAUGAACGAUGAACAAUGAACGAAGAACGCUUUCUUGAUUCUUCGGGAACCUGGAUGCUUGAGAGCUUCGGAGUUUCAGAGCUUCAGGGCUUCAAGGUGUAAUCUCAAUUGGUCCCCCCCUUUGGAAUGAAAUAGCCUUCUAUUUAUAGAAAUUUCCAAGGCCUAAUUUUGAAUAUAAUAUUCCAGAUGAAAUAAGUCGUUUCUGCCAGGUGUUGACACGUGUCCUAUUUGAUGACUUUUCCAACUCAUUUCAAUUUUCGUUGAGUCACACGCUACGUGUAAAAUUUAUGUAAUACAUGAGCGUUGACACUUUGAUUUAUCGGUCAACAUUUAUUUACCAAAAUUUCGAUGUCUACAGUAUAUACCGAAAUAUAGUAUAUUAAAUUAAUGUACCUAAAAGUCAAUACUCAAAUGUGUGUACCAAAAUGUACGUACUGAAAUGCAUUAUAUUGAAUUAAUGUACCUAUAUGUUUGUAUCGAUGAAUAUACCGAAAUAUUCAAAUGCAUUAAUGUAUCUAAAUGAAGAACAUACAAAAUUGUUAUUAGAAUAUAUAUUAUAAAAAAAUUAGUUACCUAAAUGUAGACAUUAAAAUAUAUUACGAUGAAUGAAAUAAAAAUUAAAUUUAAAUGUAAUUAAUACAUCAAAAUAUAAAUAUAAAUAUAAAUAAAACAUCAAAAUAUAACUAAUAAAUGAGAUUAUUAAAUGUACUAGGGAUUAGAGCAUCUUCAAAGGAGAUGUCAAAAUUGCCACGUAGACAUACAACAGUAAAAAAUGGUAGCAAAGUCUCUCUAACCGAGCCUUCAAUUUCUUACGUGGAGCUGAAUCAUUUGAAGGCAAAGUAUUUUGCUGUCAAAUUUGACAGCAGAUGUCAAAUUCAUUAAAUGAUUUUUUUAAUAGAUUAAUAUAAUAUAUAAUAAAUGUUGUUAUGUUUUGGAAAUAUUUGAUUGGUUGCCUUAAUCAUUGGACUCCACAAAAAGAUAAAACAUUUAAUAAAUGUCAUUAUUAUUUAACAUAUCGGGUGAAGCAAAAUAUUGUACAAAAUAUCAAAUUGCCACACAAGCUAUCAAUUAUCAUUUGAUGUUUAAAAUUUGACAUCUCAUUUAGAGAUGCUCUUACAAAGCAGAUCACAUCCAAAAACAUUGAAAGAAGGAAAUCAUUUAAGUAAAUAAGCAAAUGUGCAUCCACAACCCAAUUAAAAAAAAAUGACGGAAACCACUUGCAUAGAAAGGAAUCCUAUGAGAAGAGAAUUAAACUUCUCCCUUGGCUUAAUGUCAGAUUCCGAUGAAUUAAUCGAAAUUUGUUGUUUCUCCAGCGGAUUUUGCUUCUUUUCUUGCCCUUGUUCUGCCCUGCAUGGUCAUUUUGAGGGAAAAUCGAGGUGGUAAAUGUGUUAGGGUUAUUGAUGCUUAGAUUUUGAUAUAAGAUUUGUCGAAAACGAUAACCAAAUGAAAAAGAUGUGAAGAUUUGAAGUUAGGGGAGCCAAAUGGAGAAGAAAAAAAUAAUCAAGAAUAGCAGCAGAGCUGCUAGUUUUACACGCAGUUCAAAUUUACCAAAAUCCCCUUUUAUUUAGAAAAUUCGUAACUUUCUCGUUCGAAUUUCAAACUCCAAUAUGUUUGCGUUUAUGCGUUCAUAGUAACACAUACUAUCUAGUGAAUAUAACAGAAAAUUAACCCUUAAUUUCAAAAAUGUUAUUUUUUGUAAAAACUUUCAAAUAUAUCCAAAAUUUCACUUAAAUAGACACACAUACCCUUAAAUUUAUCAAUCAAAUAAAUUAAAGGCUUUUUAGCCAUCAUCGCCUCAAGCACCGGUCCAACGUCACCUUGACUCCUACACUCCACCACCAUAACCUUAUCCCCUUCGACCUCCUCAUCAAUGACAAUGAGCAUUGCCGCAAUUAUCGCCAAUCAUGCCUUCAACGCCUUUUUUCUUCCCAGGACUCGAGUCUUAGCCCCCGUCGCUAAUUCAUUGACACACAAACUCUUUCCGUAUCUAUGACAAUCUCGUCUUUAAUUUUACGUUUUUAGUCAUUUUGAAUGUGUGAAUUGACGAAAAUGCCCUUAGAGGCGAGGGUGUUGACUUUUGUUGACCAGCAUAUUAUAAGAUGUAUGAAACAUUCUUUUAGCAUAUGAUCGUUGUCACAUCCCGCCCUGGGCCCCUACCACAUCCUGGGCUUGACUCCGCCGUACCACAACAUUGUUCGCUUUAGGCCCCGACCAUGCCCUCACGAUUUUGUUUCUGGGAACUCACACGAGAACUUCCUAAUAGGUCGCCCAUCCUGGGAUUGCUCUCGCGCGAACUCACUUAACUUUGGAGUCCCAAAAGGCCUCGUGCUAGGUAGAGAUGGGAAUAUACAUAUAAGGCUUACAAGAUCCACUCCCUGGGCGAUGUGGGAUGUUACAAUCCACUCCCCUUAGAGGCCCGACGUCCUCGUCGGCACACUUCCGGCCAGGGAUUGGCUCUGAUAUCGAAUUGUCACAUCCCGGGCUCGAAUCCGCCGUAGCACAAUAUUGUCCACUUUAGGCCCCGACCAUGCCCUCACGGUUUUGGUUCUGGGAACUCACACGAGAACUUCCUAGUAGGUCACCCAUCAUGGGAUUGCUCUCGCGUGAACUGGCUUAACUUCAGAGUUUCGAUGGAACCCGAAGCCAGUGAGCUCCCAAAAAGCCUCGUAUUAGGUAAAGAUGGGAAUAUACAUAUAAGGCUUAUAGGAUCCACUCCUCUGGGCGAUAUAGGAUGUUACAAUCAUAGUGCUCGUCACUAUGAACGCGAAGGCACAAGCAGAAUCGAAAUUUGAGUUACGAUGAAGAUUUUACAGAACUACUAAUAUGAAAAUACUUUUAAAAAAUUAUUAUUUUAUAUUUUAUAUCUUUAUUCAAAAUUUUAUAUUAUUAUAUCUUUAUUUUAAUUAUUUUUUAAAAGAUAUUUUAUUAAUUUAUUUUGUGGCCGUGGGGCCCACACCUCAACUUAUCCUCUCCCUCUUUUCCACAUGGGUCUCUCUCCCCCACAAUUAUGGGCUCUCUCUCUCCCUCGAAUCUCUCACACUCUAACUUUCUCAAAGUCUCUCAGUCGUAUCUCUCUUUCUCUGCAAAUUGAUCACCCAUCACCAUUGCACAUCGCCACUUCAGCGAGAUGGUCACCACGUAUCACCCCAACCACCGUGUCUCUUCCUCUCUCUCUUGUCACUUUCCUUUACCUCAACCUCUGUCUCCCUCACCUUCUCUGCGCUCGUGGUGUUAAGACACCGAGACCAUCACCAUUCCCAACGAAUCCCCGCCGUUCAUGACCUACGUAAGCUUUGGGGUUCCUUCUUUCUUUUCCUUUUUGAUGUUUAGGUCAAUUUCUAUGUCGGCAUGCUCGUUUUGGUGAGUUCGGAAUGCAGAAGCAACGAGGACAAAUUUUCCCCAGAUUUCGGUGAAAAUCCGACAGCUUUAGAGCUUUUUUCUGGCCAACUUCGACCACAACCAAGGAACCCAAUGGUAUAUUUCGAUUCCUUAUUCCUUGAGCUUCAAUUUGAUAUAUUGGGUUGCUAGUUUUAGUUGAGAUUUGAAGCUAAACAGAACCGGAGAAGUUCCCAACCAAAAUUCCUGUGUUCUUAUUCUUUGGGUUCGGCGGGUGCAACUCGUGUGCCCACCGGGUCGACCGAACCCAAUUUAAAAAAAAGGGCCUAAGCCCAAACCCGGCCCCAAUUAGACAACUGUUCCAGCUCGGCCGAGUUCUAAAAUGAGCUCAGAAUAUUCUAAGGAUAUUCUUUGUGUUGACUUUUGGGGAAAUUUAUCAAAAACCUCAUAGGCUAAUUUCAACGCCCUGAGUCCAUUUAGUGAAAUUCUAAAGUUGUAACGUAGUUGACCACUGUGGCGUCUUGGUUGACUUUUUAGAGUUGACCAUUAAGUUUUUCGUUGACUUUUUUCUAAAAUUUGUCAAGGACUCUCCUUAGCGUAUUUCGACGUCUUAAUUCCAAAUAAGCACUCCGUUUUCCAAAUUUAAUUGUCUAAGUGGAUUUAAGUAAUGGGUCCCAAUAUUAUGUUUAGGUGCAAUUACUAUCGAAGCCUCCAACUUCCUAACUUGAACGGAUGUGACAUCGCAAGUAACUAUGAGUGAGUCUUUUCUUUUAUAUAAUAUAUAUAUAUAUAUAUACUUGUUAGUAUCCAUUUAUACGUUUCAUAAAGAGUUUCUACAAUACGCCUAGAGUGACGUUUAUAAGUUUUAGCGCAUUGAUAGAAAUUAUGAAAUUAGGCUACAUCCUACAGGAUGUACGGGUAUGCGUAUUAUUAUUGAUGCCUAAAUUAUAUUUAUGGUCAUGAAUAGUAUUACGAUGACAUGAAUUAUCGAUUUACUGCUGUAUGAUUUUAUUUACGUUAUCUGCUCAUUGUUACUGCACUUGUGUUAGUACUCGCCCGGGCCAGAACCAGUCUUUCACGUGUAUGUGCACAUCGCACCGUAUGCUCACCUUGGAUCUAUCGUAGGUGCCAGUCCUGUCCUAGAUUGCUAUAAUCAAUUAGGACUCGUAUGUGCUACGCAUAGCGCCAAUCUUCACGUCCUGUUCAUGUCAAAAUACCUUUGCAUGAACUCGUGUGUUAGCAUAUGUCGAUGAGCACUCAAUAUGAUAUGUUUAUUUAUGCAAAAAUAUGUGAUUACGGACAUCAUGUGUUUACUUACAAAAUAUUGUGCCGUAUUGAAUUCUUGAGAUAUUGCAGCCUACGAUAAGUAUUUUCUUACUAUACGUAGUAUGUAUAUUUUGGAAACUAUACUUGUUUUACGAUGAGGGGUUAUUAUGUUUUCGAAAGGUUUUUACAAAGCUUUAUUUUUAGGACCACUCACCCUUGUUUUUCGCCCCUCUAGGUUUUAAUAGCUGAGCUUUUGUGUCGACGAGGAUUCUUGGCAAAUCUUGGUAUAGGUGGUUACCUUCGAUGGUAUAAUUCUCAUCCUACAUUACUGUACUUUACUUAUGCUCUGACAUCACGUGUGAAAUGAGUUCAUUUCCGCUCACAUGUGCACUCUUAUAUUUAGGCAAUUUUAGGUUUAAAUUUAUUAACAUAUUUCACCUCACUAUACUUUAUGGCUUCAUCACCCUUCUGGUGUCGGUUAGCACAACUCUAUUCGGAGUCCAGGUGGACAUUUUGGGUUGGGGUGUGUCAGUAUCACAUCAAUUCUCUAUAAUCAUCAAACCCAAAUGGAAAAGGAAGAUUUUAAGAGAGAACCACUCAGGGUGCGGAAAUUUGGAUUGGAAGGUGAAGGGUUUGGAUUGUGAGAGAAUAAAGGUAUAGGUAGGUUAGGGUUUAGGGUUUUUGGUUUGGGCAUGUCUAUUGGAUUUACCCACCAAAUGAAGAAGAUGACUUCUUCUUUUAAUUUUUUUUCGUACUAAUAUCAUUUUUAGUUUUAAAUAUAAAUAUAGUUUUUAAAGUUAAUUCACAUGUUGUUAUAUGAUUGUAUUUGUGAGACCCAAGUGGCGCCACAUCAUUGCACUAACAAAGCAAUUUGACAGAUUUUUCACAGAAAGACUCGGGGGAAAGACUAAAAUGAUUCACAACAGACAAAUUCAAGGACACUACUUUUGAUUUUCAUUGUUAAGGACCAAACUAAUGAGUCAUGUCAAUGUCACAAACCAUUUUGGUUAAAAAGUCUAUAAUUUAUUUGAUUGUUAAAUUUGAGGGUAUUUGCGCCUAUUUAAGUGAAAUUUUCAAUAUAUUUGAAAGUUUUCAUAAAAAGUGACAUUUUUUAAAUUAAAGGUUAAUUUUUUGUUAUAUUGCAUAAAUACUCGAUUAGGAUUGUGCCGUGGGCUGGGAGGUCGACGCCGCGGCGGCGGAAGGAACCCAGACCUAGAUUAUAGGUAAAACCGUAAAAGGUAUUAGACAUAUUUAUAGGCUGGUAUUUGUUCAAUUAAUCUAUGGGCUAGUAUUUGUUUAGUAAAUCUAUGGGCUGGUAUCUGUUUAAAUAAUAUAUGGGCUGGUGUUUGUUUAAUUAAAACAUGGGCUGGUGUUUCAAUAUGACUUGGAUUUAAGGUAAAAUUAUUAGAAAAUUUUCUAUCAAAAUAUGGGAAGUGUUAUUGGCACUCUAAAAUCUCAUUCUACACUUCUCAUAAAUAUAUUUUUUCUUCCUAAUAUAGAAAAUUUGAAGUAUAAAAUGAAAUUUUUGGAGUGUUAAUAACAAUUUCCUAAAAUAUUUGAUGGUCAUUACUUUUACCUAAUGUGAAGACGCAGAAGAUAAACAUUGAAUAAAAAAAGGGGAAGAUAAGAUUCUUAAAAAAAAAAGUUGGAUAAAUUAUCAUCCAAGCUUAUGAUAUUUUUAGUCAUUUCCAUAUGGGCUUGUUUGACGGGGUGAAAUAGAUUCGUACUUAGAGAUAAGAUUAGAAUAGCAGGAAUUUGAAAGAUAAAAAUUUAUAACUCAUGUAUAAAGAUAGGUUAGAUAACGCACUGAAUUCAUAACUCAUUAUAUCGUGUCCAUCUUACAUUUUGACACAGCAAACAAUGAACUGUGCUAAUUUUCUUUUUACUUAUUUGUUAUUAAAUUUUAUAGAACCCACAUGUGUGUCACAUUAACAUAUUAACAAAAGUUUUGACGAAAAUAUUACAGUAUAAUUGAUUUGCAGCACUCAAUUCAAAAGCAACAUUGAUCGAAUUUUACUUUCAAAACCACCUUAAUUAGUGCGUCAAUUUCUGUACUAUUUGUGUUAAACGACACUUUUUAAAGAAAUCUACUACUUUGAACGUGUGGUAUGUUGAUUUGAACGAACGGUAAGACCAAAACAUGUAGCCAGAAAAUUCGGUGUCUCGCCUUCCCAACUCAUUCGACCUAUAUAUGUGUGCGGAAACAAACAGAGUCGAAAACAAACAACGCACGCAACAUUCUCAGUUUCUCAUCAAACUACAUUAUUUUACAUUCUCUCUGUAAACCGUUGGAAUUUCGGUAGUUCUUUUCAUUACCCAAGAACAGAUUAGGAAAUUGAAUUAAGUUUUGAGUGUUUCCGUAAUUAUGUCUCUGGCUUCAGUCGGAAUGGGUGCUCUGGGAACGUCAUUUCAAAUGCUGUUUGAUGCUGUAAAAUCAGUGCAGGAGGAGAAUACAAUGUUCCAACACCUCCUCGGAGACAUCAAAUCCACACUGAACUCUCUACAACCACUCAUCAAAGACAUCGAAAAGUAUAACUCCAAGGAGGGACUGGAAAAUUAUGCAAUACAGAUGGAGGAAGGAGCAAAGCUUGUUCAGAAGUGCAGCAAAGUAGGCGUGUGGAGAAAACACACAUACACCAAGAAGCUUAGUCAACUGGACAAAUCUCUCCGAAGAGUGUUUGAUGUGCUUAAACGGCAGGGUAUGAGGGAUGCGAGGGAGACGUUAGUUUCUUUGAGGAGUAUCCAGACGGUGCUCUCUCGAAUAGAAGAGAGUUUGAAGAUGAAAAAUAAUCAGCCUGAAAUGGUUAAAUGUUCGUCUGCGGUGCCUGAAGCGCCAUCAGUUACAGUCGGGUUAGAUUUACCGUUGAAGGAGUUGAAGAUGAAGCUCCUUAAGGAUGAACAGGUGUCUAUGCUUGUGCUGACUGCUGCUGGAGGAUGCGGGAAAACCACCUUGGCUAAAAUGUUUUGUCAAGAUCAAGAAGUCAAAGGUAUGCUAAUUAAAAAGUAAUACACCGUGUAGAGGAUUAUGCAAGUAGAACUACGCGCUAGGGCCUAUAAAAUGUCCGCUAUACUCCCUCCAAACAUACACAGUAACCAAAAUUUGUUAAAAGAAAAACAACGAAGGGGACAUGAAACUAAAGCGCACGAAAGGAAUAUAAGAAAGAUUAGAAAGACCUAAAUGGGCAUGCCCAACAUAUAACAAGUGGUAGUGAUAUGAACUUGACAUGAUUUUCUUUGUACUAAAUGUAAGUUAAGCUGAUGCCUUCCUCUUAGAGUUAACAAGUCUUGCACUGAGCUACCGCUUGAUUACUUACUUGAUCUCAGAAUUGCAGACAUAUCUUGUCAACCUUAUAUUAACACCUUUCCUACAUUCUGUUUGGUUAGAUACAUUCAAGAACAACAUCUUCUUUGUCAAUGUCUCGAAAAAGCCCAACUUGGACCUUAUUGUACAUGAACUAUAUCAACGGAAGGGGUUCGAGCUGCCUGCUUUCGAAAACGAAGUCAUGGCAGCUAACUGGUUGCAACAAUUUCUGAAGGAAUCAAGACAAAAUCCUCUACUGUUUGUCCUGGAUGAUGUUUGGUCAGGAUCAGAGUCCCUUCUUGAGAAGUUUGAUCAAUUCAAG